UCUUAUUUUUAAAAAUAAAAUUACAGAAAUAGAAACAACAACUAUGUUUAAUAUUAGUGUUUUUAUUUUCUGUUUUUUUAAAGUCACUUUCAGUAUUUCUAGAAAAAAAAUCAAAGUACGAAAUCCUUACUUUCAAUAUUUUCAAAAGCAAAAAACUCGUGACUUUGACUUUCAACACAGCCCCCACCACACUGCUACCAUUAUUGUCGCUGCUGCUACCAUUGUUGUUGCCAUUGCCACCCCCCUCGCCACCGACACUGCUGUCCCUACCAUCAUAACCACCUUCGCCAUAUCACUAUCAGCUCCACCACCACUAUCGUUGCCAUCACUAUCGCUACCAUCACCACCUUCACCAUAGCUAUUGCCUUUGCAUCACUAUCGCUACCAUCACUACCUCCACCAUCACCACCUCCACCACACCACCUGCACCAUAUACUAUCAUUGCCACCACCAUUGCUUCAUCUCCACCACACACUGCCGCCAACACCACCGUCUCCACUACCUCCUAUGCAAACUUACCACCAUGCCCAUCACCAUUGAUAUGUUUAUUUUUAAUAAAUAAUCGACUAUACCAAAUAUAUAUAUAUAUUACAAUUUAGAAAAGAGGGAAACAAAAUUUUUAUUUUUCUAUUUCUGAAAAUUAAAACAAUGAAAAUGAUUCCAAACAAAAUUUUAGCACUUUUAGUGAGAUACAAAAAGCAUGCUAAAGCCUUCCAAGAAAAUGUACAUCUUCUAGAAGGUAUUUAUGCAUAUAAGGAUUUUCGAUGAAGUUGAUGACUGCAAGUCCAAUGAAUUCAGCAACAUACCUAGCAUGACUUUUUUCUCUACCAAGAGGAAGCUACGUACGUCAACGUUCAAUUAAAGCACCAACAAAAGGAACUUGCUUCAUUCAGGCAAAGAAACAUGCAGAAUUAGAGUACAGGAAGCAAAGGCAGGAAAAGGGAAGGACAUAUCUAUUUCUCACUUUAGGUCAUUCAGUGAACAAUAUUAAUGAAGCAUCUUCAAAUUUCUAGAAGAAAUAAACUGACAUGGUAAGUGCCUGAUGCAUGACAAGGAUAAGAAGAGGUUCCUUGGUCAAAUUUUGAAACGAAAGAUAAAAAAGGACUGCAAGUUUAUCCUGUAGGUUGUUCAGCUAUCUUCAAGUCCAGUAAGUAAUUGAACACCACACCUCCCUUCCCUCAUUAAUUUCGGUCAUGGAGCAUAGACGAUUCUACUUUUGAGUUUGUUCUUCAAAAAUAAACUUUAGACAAGACACCUACUGAAAAUGGAGGACCAAGGUCUGCCAAACCGUGCUGAACCGGCCGGUUCAAGGCGUACCGAACUGGACCGGUCAAGGACUAGCACGGUCCCGACUAUUAAAUGGGUUACCCCCACCCCUCACACUAUUGAACCCUCCUGGCUCACUCGCCUCUGACUCAAUUUCGUGCUACUAAAUCAAGAUAGGGCGAUUCGCUCAAUAAAUCCCUCUCCGCACUCCGACGCCCACUCAAUGGUUCGAGACUCGAACGAGCCACCCCUCGGUCGUAUCGAUGGCUCUCUAAUGGACCCUCACCUCGCCCCGUACUUGCAACCAUCGAUGCUACCUGCCUGCAUCCCCUCCCCUUUCUCCUUCUUAGAGCUAAUCAUGGGCCAAGUUUUGGGCCUCAACUUUAUUAUUUUUAGUCGGACUUUGAGCCGAGUCUAUUUAAAUUUUAACAUUUUCUAUGCCUAAGCCUAAUCCAUGAUCAGCUUACUCCCUCCACCUCUUUCUCUCUCGCGCAAGUUUAGGGUUAGAGUUUCAAGCCCUCUCUCUUUUGAGCCUCCUACCUCCAACAACAAGAGCUUUCUAGCGCUCUCUCUCUCUCUCUCUCUCUCUCUCUUAGCCUCUCUCCCCCUCCCUCUCCCUCCCUCCCUCUCUCGCCCACUUUUCCUCUCUCCUUCUCCCUCUCCAGCUCUCCCUAUAUUGGUAUGCUUCAAAAUGGCAUGGUACGGAUCUGCACUGUGUUGAACCAAUCAUCAACCGGUACACCCAUCAGUAUUGAUUCGGCAAACCUUGAACCACUAGGGUCAUUAAGAGUAAACAUAAAGCUUUAUACUUCUCAUUUACAGAAUUCUAUGACCCCACCUGCAUCAUAUGAUUUAAAUUCUAGGAUAUGUACCAUCCAUGAACCUCUGAUUGCUAGGUGGAGGCGUACAGCCACCAAGGCAACUCCCAUCUAAUACAAUAAAAGAUUAUUUUAAUCAUCAUCUUUCGCUAUUUUUUUUCUUUUGAAGACCAAGCAGAGACAUUGACCAUUAUUGCUCAUGGAGAUGGAAAUCUUCCAAACCUGAACUAAAAUUUUAGACACCUGUUCUCCCUAGCAAAUAUAUGAGAAAAUUAGACUUCCUAUGCAUUCCGGUUACGAAUCCUAUUAGGACUUCAUGAACUAUUUGGAAAUGUAUUGUACAAAAAAGAUAAGUUCUUGAGUUAUGACAGAGGCUAUAGCUAGAUACAGAAAUAAUAUAGGCAGUGAGAGGACCCAUGUGGGUGUAUGCAGUCCUAUAUGAGUUGUGUGCUAGGAAGAUCUUGGGUAUUUAAGCAAGCAUAUCCAAAAAGCCCAAAGUAUAACUUCUAGCUUCCUUUUUUUGUGAUGUUUUGAGUCACAGCAAAUGGUACCGCCAAUUGCAUCAAGGUCCACGUCGACUAGGAGACACUAUAGCACAAGCCCUUAUAGGGCUAACCAUGUUCUGGUCAUGGUGUUUCUAAUUUGUUUCUAAUUAGACCCUUUCUUUAGCGAGGAAGCCAAGGCUUAGACAAGGGGAGCAUGUGGGCACCCAUGAGGGUGUUCAGUCCCGCAUCAGUUAUGCACUAGGAAGAUCCUAGGUACUUGAGCAACCCAAAAAAAGCCAAAAUAAUAUAACUUUUAGCUAGUUUUUCUGGGUGAGGUCCUGAGUCAUUACAAAAAUAUAUUGUUGGAACAAAGCUCCUCUUCAGUUAUAGAUGUAACCACAUAAGUAGUUCCUAUGCCAAGGUGUGCAGCACUAAAGGAACUACCAGCAUCUACUUUUACAACUUUCCUUUCUCAGGGUUUAUCAAAUUAUGUUCAGUUGACCAGUGUUAAUAAUCUAAUAGUGUAUGGCCUAAAUUUAUCAGAAAAAGCAUUAAAACGUUUUCAAAUCAUCACAUUUCUAAGAUCUACCAGGAACUAAAUUUUAGAGUUGCAGCCUUCAAGUUUCUCCUGACCACCACUUUAAGGCAAUCAUAACUGCUUACAAACUCUUCACUAUGCAUCACAAAUGAAUGUCUGCUUGAAAAAAAAAAAAAUAUAUCAUUCAAAUGAUAGGUCUCUUUCCAUUCUUACACAAGAAUGAAUUAUAGCCUAUUCAAAAAAGGUUUUUGCACAAUACAGCAGAUCAUAACGUCCAGAUUCACUUGUGCAAACCAACUCUUUUGCCGAUUUAUACAGCUAAAAAUGCAUAUAUAUAUAUAUAUAUAUAUAAAACCAGAAAAUGGAAUGAUUUUGAAGGGAAAACAAGACAAAAAAUCACAUAGAAGCAGGGAUGCAAAUAUAUGAAUAUAGAAGCGUAAAGGUAAAACAGAACAGAGAAUGACAGAAAAUUUUAAAAAAUUAACUUGGUACCAUUGAUCACAAAUGUACGAAUAAACAAUCCAAAACUCACCUGGAUGACAGAAGAGCAUAAUAUCGAUGCCGCCUGCUGGCUGAAUUUGCUUUUCAACCUCCACAGCAUGUUCAAGACAAAAAACAUGCAUUCGAGAAGAAUCUUUGUCACAUCUUCGCAUGGCUGGUAUGCCAGAAUUCAUCAUUCCAGUAUCAACAUUUAUUGAUUGUGUUGUUAUAGCAGUUCGUUUUGUUGAUUCAGAUAAGUCACAGCAGAAAUCAGGUUGAAUCGUGUGAUCUUCAGAACCAAAAGAUGGGUUUCCCAUUUUCAUGUUGUUCUCAUGGUUGUCAGCAGUUUCAGUAGCAUGACAACCAUCUUCCACUUCCCUGUAACUAAAAUCCAUCGGUUCCUCCAUUGAUUUUAUAGAACUAUUAGAAGUUGUGAUUUUCCUAUUAUCAUCUAAACUAUCUGUUCCAGCAGACUUUGCAUUUUCUGACUCAUUACUACCACAGAACUCCAAUUUCAGCUGGCAUUUCUCACCAGCACUAACAUUUGUCAGACUACUUGGAUCAUCUGAGCCACCGUCAUUAUGAGAAUUUUGAGCAAAUGUUCGAUUUUGGCAGUCUGCUCCAACCAAGGACAAAUCUAUCUCCUUCUGUGAAUCCUUACUUGAACAUAACUUUUGCAAUUCAACUCCAAAGUUUGGAUGUUCAAUUGGUUUACAUGAUGAUGGGGAGCCUUUAGUAUCAUUUUUAUCAGUACAAGCAGAUUUCUCAUGCAAAACUUCUUCCUCAGUGUCUGAUGUAUCCCCAUAGGCAGAAGCCAGAAGAUCAAGCGCAGAGAUGCCUCUCUGGCCUGUAUUAUCAGAAAAGACUUCAAAACUCUGUUCUGAAACCUGUCCUGAAUAUGUGCUACAGUGAACCCAGUAAUCAUCCCCUGCAUCUUCAGUAUGCCUUCCUAUUUGUCCUACACAGAGUUAAGUACUUAGGAAAGAAGAGGUAAAAAUGAUAUGCAACUUUUCAUCUAAGGAACACAAUAAACCAGUGAUUAGAAAUACAUGCUUAAUUCGCUAUUUUAUAUANNNNNNNNNNNNNNNNNNNNNNNNNNNNNNNNNNNNNNNNNNNNNNNNUAUAUUGCGUGACCCCUUUGUCAGAUGCAAGGAAAAACUGUCUGAAAGUUCAAAUUUUAAACUCAGCAAAAGAGCCAAGAUGUCGGCAAUAUGUCAUAUUUCAAACUCUAAACUCAGAAAAGAUAUAAGAUGCUGAGAAUAUGUCAUAUUUCAAACUCUUUCUUCUGCUGAAAGAACUAUGAGUCUUCCAUCAAUAUUUCUCCUAGCAAUAUUCAUAUAAAAGCAACAAAUUGAAAUCAUAAAUACAUGAAGUAUUUAAUUUUCCAAAUCACCUUGCAAGUUUCUCCCAGAUCAAACAAGCAAGUGGUUCUGUGAACAGAAUAAAAGGUAAAUCCAACAGCAUGAGAUGGUUACAUAAUCGAGCCUGUAUAUUUUAUAGAAAACAGUACAAUGGGAGGUACCGACUACUGACAAGACUUCUUCAUAUAACAAUUUCCCACAUAUUACCACAUACCAAUUUACAAACAACUAAUACGUGGAAUUAAUUUGGAAUGACCUAUAAAUCAUAAAUACAGACCUUGUCACAGUGACAACACCUCAUGCCCUUUUACACUAGUGUUAUGGUUGUAGUACAGGCGUGAAAUGUAGCCAGGUUAACAGGCUUCAUUUUUUAUACCAUUGUUCUGAUUACAGUUUAUAUUGCAUCAUGUAAACAUAUGGUAUCUACACAUGUGAGUUUCAUUCCUUUUGUUAAUUUUCUUUUAUUGAUGUUCAGUAUGUUGUUGUUGUUCAUUACGUCUGAUAUGAUGAUUGUGAUAGGUCUGAUAGUGAUCGGGAUGGAGGUCGAUGUAUGCAUGUGCAACCAAAUGAUGCAGAGCAUAUGAUGGAUAAUGGAAGAGGAAGUCAGACUUGAAUAGUUGGGUAUCAAAAUGUUCGUACAUGUGUGCAUGGGCAGCUACUGAUUUCCACGUGAUCACCCAUAUAUCUGAAGCCUAGAGGGCAAUAUUUUGUUAUCAUAGUGCAAUGCACCACUUGUAUUCACUCCUUGCCUUCUGUCCACAAUCAUUUUUGGCUUUUUCCAUUACACAAGCCUCUUGGUCAUCUCUGUUGAUAUAUCCCAAGGUUGGUGUAUUGGUGGUUUAGAUGAUCGUAUUACUGGCUAAUACAUGAAGUAGAGGAAUGGAGGAUCUACACUUCACGAGCUAGAUCGAGCAUUAAAUGUCAAGAAGAGGUAACUUUAAAUAUGACCACAAUGUUUCAAUCCCUUGUACAUCAUUGGCUGAAGCUACAUCUCCAUGCUUGAUCAAGGUGAGGGAUGGAUUGGUGAUGAUGGAUCUGCGGACAUUAUAUGUAGCACUUUGCAAAAUUUACAUAUAACACGGUGUAAUAUUUUGUUGCACUUCAGAUAUUAGUAAUAGCGAUUGGUUACCAUAGUGUACAUUGUUACUACUUACUAAUAUAUGCCAACGUACAAUGGAUAACGAAAUUCUGAAUGACUGAAUUCGACGUUAUAUUUGCAUGGGCCUUAGAAAUGUUCAAAGUACUUAGGCACUUUCUUUCAAUUAUGCAACUCACACAGUCACACAUGUGUGAUAGUGAUUAGUGACAACCAGCCAAGCCACAAAAGUGACAUGUGAAUGACUUGCUUUCUUUGACAUAUAAGAAUACCAUANNNNNNNNNNNNNNNNNNNNUAUAUUUGCAUGGGCCUUAGAAAUGUUCAAAGUACUUAGGCACUUUCUUUCAAUUAUGCAACUCACACAGUCACACAUGUGUGAUAGUGAUUAGUGACAACCAGCCAAGCCACAAAAGUGACAUGUGAAUGACUUGCUUUCUUUGACAUAUAAGAAUACCAUAAUACAUGAUUGGAGAGGAUAGAAGAUGAAGAUAACGAGAUAACGAAUAUGCCUAUUAUACACCUUGGUGCACUUUGAGAAAUUUGUCUCCGGAACUUAGUUGAUGUCAAUUAAUCUGCAUUUGUAUGAACUAUCAAACUUAUGUUAUGGAACUUGGCCAAUUUUUCCUUUAUAUCAUCAUUACGAAUAAGUAUAAACUUUUUAUGUGACACAUGCCAGAACACUUCAUAGUUUACUUGAUUAUAAUGACAGAAUCUAACUUGCUUCAUCCUCUACUACCAUAAGCCGAAUUUUCCCUACCACUCUUCUGGACAUAACAUACAUUAUGAUAAAUAGUAUAAUCAAGUAAAUUUUGAUGUGUAAUAUAAUAAAUAGUUUUACAGUAUAUACAUAUUAUAAGAUUACAAAGCAUUUAUAUUUUAUAAUAACUCAUACAUUAUAUAAUAUUUUAUAUUUAUAAAAUUUAUAUAUAUUAACAUAUAAUAAUAUCCUAUAGCAAUAUAAUAUAGAACUUAUAUUCUGUAGUGUAUUUUUAAUAUAUUAAAAAUAAUAUGUUAUUGUUUAUAUACAAUAACUCUAUGAUAUCUAUUCAAUCACAAUAUUAUAUGCUAAUAUUAGAAAAGUUUAGCCUUACUACAUAUUUAUGCAAUAUAACAAAGAUAUUAUAAUUUCUUACCCUUUUUAUUUUUAUAAUUAAUAUCAUUCAUUGUCAUAAUAGUAUUUCAAUUAUUCUCCAAAACAAUCUAUAUUACAAACAAAUGGAGAACAGUUGGUAUUACAGGGGCCAAGAUUAGAAAAUUUCACCUUUUUGGUACCUAUCCUCAUUUUAUCCAAAUACCAUUUUCUUAUCCUCAAAAUGCGUCCAAACAACAAAAAAAACAACAAAACCACAAUCAUUACAUGGAAUAAAAGCUUUAAUCCCAAACAAAAAUAAGGACCAAUCCCAAGUAAACCUACCCUUUUUUAACCCCACCCAGGAUAAAGCCUAUUCAUACUCAAAAUCCUAAUUCCCUGUCCAAACUGGGCCUUCGUGCUCCUAGAAACAAUUUUCUAUCUUCUUCUCUAAAUCUUCUAGGUGGUUCCCUAAGUGAGCAGGGGUCUGCACCUAGCCACCAACCCAAUGUCACCCUAAAACCACCAGCUGACUACUUGACCUGUCAACUUUGAUAUAUUCUUUUUAAGUCUUGUUCAAGAUACAAAACUAAGACAUAAAAAUGACUUGUGCACCAAGAAUCUCGCUUCUAAAAGAGAACCAUCAAUAAGUAUAAGGGCAUAAGAAUCAUUGUAAUAUGUUUAGAAACAGAAAACAUGUGAAAUAAUGCAGCGCACAAUUUAAUUUACAGUAUCUAUGCCUUUUAAGUUCUAAGAAACAACAAAGAGAAAAACCAUAGAACCUACAAAAAAAAUAAAGAAGAAAAACAAAAAAAGACUGCUCAUCGGACUAAUAAUGACAAUUCAGAAGUCCCAGAUGCUUGUUCUUUGUUUAUAUAUGCUGAUUGACAAGACAGAAAGAGGCCAUGAAGCACACUAGGAUUAUGUGAGACAUGUAUCAGCAAAUUUGAACAAUUAAUCUAAAGUGAUUUCAUUACAACUAUCUUUAUACUCUUCUCAUUUUAUUAGUGAAACAACAAAGAGAAAAACCAUAGAACCUACAAAAAAAAAAGAAGAAAAAAGAAAAAAAGAACUGUUCAUCAGACUAAUAAUGACAAUUCAGAAGUCCCAGAUGCUUGUUCUUUGUUUAUAUAUGCUGAUUGACAAGACAGAAAGAGGCCAUGAAGCGCACUAGGAUUAUGUGAGACAUGUAUCAGCAAAUUUGAACAAUUAAUCUAAUGUGAUUUCAUUACAACUAUCUUUAUACUCUUCUCAUUUUACUAGUGAAAUCAAAAUUAGGUAAGCAUGGAAAUAACUUCUUGAGAAUGUUGACAGAUAUAAACUAUUAAAUAGAACAAUGGAUAUCAAUAUAAAUCAUGAAGAAUGCUAUUAAGAGAUAGAUGUCCAUUGAACAUAUCCACAAGUAUGAAUGUCAUCAGAGAGAAAGAGAGAGAACAAGAAUAGUACAUUCAAAUGCUGGAGCUUACCUGAACCUGAAACCAGAUUAGAACCGUCUAUCUUCCUGCUUGUGUCUUUAUUGAUACCACUUACUUCUCCAGAACCAUUAAUAUGACCACUAAGGAUACCACAAUCAGCGGACAUAAGGUAUUUCGCUGCUGCUUCUCUUGGUUGAAUGACAGCCACACAUGCAAAGCUCAAAAUUCCACAUGUAACACAUGACAAUAGUCCUUGAUCUAGCAGCCCAUCGCCUUGGAGCGUACCUUCUUUUUCACCUUCCACAUUCUGUGAGUCUGAAGAAGAAGAGUAGAAAUCAGCAGUACCAAAUUUGCUGCAUGUUGCUGAUGAAAUCAUCUUUCCUUGCCAAACAGAUACAGAAUUUCCUUUAAGUGAACAUAAACCACUCAUGUUUCUGAUCCCUGCAUUCCAGCCUGGCGUAAUAUCAUCAGAAGGCAAAAGUCUUGAUGCUUCCAUUGCUUCCUCGUGACUGCAUAAACCAACUGAUAAUCUUGGUUUCGCCUUUAAUCUGACAAGUGAAUUUGAACAUAAAGGACUGUCGGGUGCAUUUUGUGGAAGUACUAUGCAGGAAGAUCCUUUAUCAAGAAGAAAACUAAGUAGGUGAUUAUUUUGAAUCACAUUCUGAACAAAUAUGUUCUUGACCAUCUCUUCUCCAUCUCCUUUCAUUUUAUCUUUCAGUCUAGAACUCCGUGGUUCACUUCUGCUGCCCCUGGGCAUCCUAAAAGAAAGAAAAGAAAGAAAGGCUAUUCUUAUUACAUUAACAAUAGAAGAUAAUUAAAACAUCUAGAUUCCUUUUUUUUGGAAACUUGACUUAGUAGGGCAUAAAGCAAAAAGGACAACAAUUUUGUUGAUAUUCAAAAUAAAACAGCAUUGCAAAACUCAGAUCCCAUGUUCUCAACAGCUUUAAGUGAAUCAAACUGAAAAGAAAACUGGCAUGGACUAUUCCUCAACAGCAGAACCACGUGGAGCCAAAAAUAUGUUAUAGGCAAAAGAUAUAGAGCAGAAGAACCACACGUUUUGACAAAACUAAUAACUACAGGUGUUGUUAAAAAUAUAAUGUAUAUUAACAUACCUAAGAGAGUAAGAACUAUGCAGAUAAAUGAUGCUUCACAGAGAUGCAUUCAGUUCCCAAAAAAUAUACUUAUUAUAUAUGGAGAUUUAAAUGGCAGUGCUGGUGGCUGUGCUGGCACAUGUGCUGGGCUGCCGAAACCCAAAAGAAAAAAGAUUGUAUGCCUCUUGAGUCAAAAUAUUUAAAAAAUAAUAAUACAAGAUCCAAGAUAAAACAUACAGCAGCUAAUUGUGCAUGUUCUUCUUAUUAUGAUCCAAAUCAAUACUAAAGCGACUGUUAGUUGGAGAGGCCCAGAAAGAAAAAAAGAGAGCAGUUUGGUUAUAUGGAUGAAAAAGAUCAAAGAUAAGUUCAUGAGGUGAAGAAACAAAAAAAAUAAUUAAUAUUUAUGAUAUUACUGAUUUAUCGAAGAAAGGUUUAUGGUGACUAGGAAAAUCCCACAGAAGUUACAAAAGCAAAACUUAGGAUACUGCUUCGAAAUCAAAUUCGCUUGUAAAAGUUGUUCGAGGAUUGAGCCGAUAAUACAGGGAGAUCAUUAAAUUAUAACCAUAUAGUAUGUUAUGUGAUCCUAUAAAAUUGCUCCAAAGAGUAAUAUAAGAAGUCAGUCUUAAAAUUUAUACAAAAGUAAAGUUCAGCAAGAUCAAUAAAAAUAUUAGUCUCCACAAACAUUCCAGAAGAGGCAUAAAGUAGAUUUUAUACCAUGUGUAUUUAUUGAAAAAUGAAAUGCACAUAUGGAUAUUAAUAUGACAACAACAAACUGGUUUUUAUUACAAUUUGACCUUAUGGCAUUUUGUGCCUUAGAGACGAAUGCAAUCCUGUCUUUUUUCCCUCUUGUAUAGACUCUUUUCAAGCCUGGGGGAACUCCAUGGUCACCACAAGUUAGAACUAUGAAAGUGAAGUAGGUCUCCCUCCCCACAUUUUUUUAAGUUGAGGGAAAACCAAUAGUAAUUCAUUUUAAAACAGUGAAAACAUUAAUGAAGUGAUAUGUAGAUUUAACUUUGUAAAGUUUAAAGACCCAUAUAUUGAAACAUGAGAAAUAAGAAGCAUGUGAAAACACAUGAAAUGGAACAUUUAGUUAUUAGCUGUAGCAGUUUAAUGAUCUGAUCAUAAACAAGUGUCAUGAAUGAAGCACCAUAAAAUUUAAAAAAAGGGACAAUAAACAGAAAAGCAUAUGUUUAGUGAUAAAAAGGUAAGCCAAAACAAUGAACAAAUAUUAUGGUUCUAGGCUAAAGCCAAAUUUUCGAGUUUUUCCCAACUUUGCAACUUUAGUUACUUUGGGUCUUAGUUCUGUCGAAUACCAUGGUUUCAGUUUCAGACACCUUCAGCUGUAACAAACAGAGAUCAAAUGGUCAUAUUAAAUUAGAAACUAGUUUUCAGUUUAAUAUUUUGGUCAAUUUUAUAUUUCUUCUUUUUUUGUUGAAUCAAUCAUGAUUGAUCAAGUCUUCGGAAUUUUUAAAGCAUUUCCUAAGAUCAAACUUAAGUUUUUGAAUCAGAUGCUUCAUGAAAUUGAGAUAAAAACUAAAUUUGUUUAAUCAUUUCAUAAUUGGUAGUACAAAUUUUUUGCAUAGUAAGCAAAACCUUAAAAGUUCUAUUUAUAUUUUACAAAGUCUGCAUAUCAGGAAGCAUUUUUGGUAAAAUUAACAAAUGUAAUUCUAGUUUUUUUUCACAAAUAUAAUUUUGAAAAUAUUGACAAGCAAGUUUGUUAUUACUCAAAUUGCCAAAUUUAAGGAUUAUUGUUUUAAAAAAAAGAAAAUUAUUAAUCAGAAGAACUAAAAUUAGGGUUUUCUUGACUUUGAAAACGAAUUUGUACAUGUGGAAAUUAAGAUUCUUAUCAAAAAAUAUUUGUUGAGAAUAGCAGCUGUUACUCCAACAUGAAUGCAUAUACUUGAUUUACAAAUAUUUCAAAAAAUAAAUAUGUUAAUUUAAAUGAUGUCUUAUUAUUUUUAAUGUGUAUUUUCUUGUAAAUUUUCUAUAUUUGUACUUAUAUCAAUUUUCAACAACUUCAUAAAACUUUUUAGAAGGUUCUGAACUAAAUUCAUCAACUUUUAUUUAGCUAGUAUGCUUUUCUGAUUUGUUUCCCUGGGUGGCCCCUUUUCUUGCUUUUUUUUUGUAUUAUUUGUUUUUAGUUACAAAAGGAAACUCCUAAAUCCAGAGUUAAAACUAUUGAAAGAUUUUGCUGGCCUUGGAUGAAAACCAAAAUCAGAACCUAGAUUUCAAAUCACAAAACAAUCGAUUGAACCAUAUUAUGCCAAUUGAUUUAUAUUAUUAUUCUAUGUAUAACUCUUGAAGUUCAUAUCAGAAAUCCAUGAAAACAAUUUCAGGAUUUCUGAAAGUUUGUGUUCUCAAAUGCAUUAUUAUGUAAUAAUUCACUAGUCAUUUGACUGGGUUGUUCCAAGUCAAGAUGUAGCUCUCACUCCUCGCAGAGGAAAAAUCCGGCUAGACCAUCCAAUUUGAUAUUAUAGUACAUAAACAACCUUCAAUUUAAAGCUAACUCAAACCCCUACAGGUAGUUAUCUAAAUUAAGAUUUCAGAUAUUGUCUAUUGUGUGAGUAUGGGUUAGUGAAAAUACAAUAUAUUUGGUACAGAUUGGCAAAGAAAGGUGCAAAACCUUUUGAAUACAAUAUAUAAAGAUAUGCUAAUAAAAACUAUUUUUUAAAAUUAUGAACUACAGAACAAAGUGUUGUUAGGAAAAAAAUUUGCAUGUUUUUAACCAUCAAAGGUUUUGACUCCUUUAAACACUCCACAAUGUAGCUAUAUUUGACAAGCCUAUUAUUUUGUAUAAUAUUAUUACCAACACUUUUUGUUUGUAGAGAAUCUUGUGUGAAAUUCUAGAAGCUAAAAAUCAAGACGUGUUUUCCUCUCCAACAAAAAAGUUAUACAUUUGCCAACAAUAUGGUGAUUGAUAUUAUGCUAACAUCCUUAUCUUGGUGAAACAUGAAGGCAGUUGGACAGUGGUAAGUGUACUUUCUCAUAUUUAUUAUUCACAAUGUGGUAUACAUAUGUUUGUUUUGUACUUCUUUUUAGCUUUGAGGUUUAUCAGGAUUACUUUCUAAUAUCUUAUCAAAACUUAACAAAAAUACUAUAUUAGAUCCUACAAAAAUAGUGCAUUUUUAAGUUCUAAAAAAAAUACAUGUUUAAAUUCUGAAUAAAAUAGUACGUUUUCAAGCUCUCUUUACUGUUCCUAAUAAAAAAUUAAGUUAACUUCCUUUCUAUUUUAUAUAAAUUUGGAACUAGAGAAUUUAUAUUUUGUUUCUUCUUUAUGUUUACGAUUUUAUAUUUUUAUACAGUGCUUUUUGGUCAUUCAACGAUCCGGUGAAGAGAAACAGGCACACACAAUGCACAUGGACAAGGGAAGAUAUAAUUGGUUAGGGAGAAAAGAAAAGGGGCACUAGAUAAAGGAAAUGAGACAAGCUCGACUAUAUAAGGUCUUGCAUCUUUACACCAAAAGUUUAAGUUACAGCUGGAUUUGGAUUUUGUAUCAAAGAUACGUGAAAUGUUACUCAUAGCAUUUGGUCCGGCAGAUCUACUACAAACAGGAUCAUGCAAACUGAGUAAUAUAUAUAUAUAUAUUAAUAUAUAUAUAUAUAUAUAUAUAUAUAUAUAUAUAUAAUAAACAGAGAGAGAGANNNNNNNNNNNNNNNNNNNNAUAUAUAUAUAUAUAUAUAUAUAUAUAUAUAUAUAUAUAUAUAUAUAUUAAAAACAGAGAGAGAGAGAGAGCACAGGAUCACAAGGGAAGGGAGGAAUCUCAGAAAUAAAAUGGAAGGGAGACAUGCACCUAUUCAUGAUUGGAGCCCUAUACUUCACCUGAAUGUGUCCAUUUCUAAAAUCAUAACUACACAAAAAAGUGGAGGUGUCCUUGCACAGUUGCCAUAUGUUUGUCAUACCCAGUGAUUGCUUCCUAUAGCUAUAUGAAUUUUCUUCCUCUCCACCUAUGUAGUCCUUUGAUAUUGAUUAUAAUCACCAAUUCAUAACAAAGGACAAUAUAAAGAGAUAGAAAACCACCAAUUCAUAACAAAGGACAAUAUAAAGAGAUAGAAAACCUAGUACUGCCAGUACUAUCAAAUACUCUGUCCAAUAAAGAUAAGUACGCAGAUACAAAAAAAUCAAACCAAAAUUGGAAGGGGGAAACUAUAAAAUCAAGACUGCAAUUAUAAUUAAAAUGCAUAUUUGUCUACAAAUCUUGCAAAGUAAAUUCUACUACUUAAAUCUAACCUUGUACACAAUGAUAGUGCAAGUUCAUAAAGAAGCUGAAAAUGAGACACCAUGGGAGGAUAGUUAAUUGAAGCCCUUCGAAUUGCAGCCUCUUUGGCUACCCUCAACCAUCCAGGAGUUGCAAUAUUUGCUGCCUCCCCACAAUUAAAUCCUACCGACAAGAAGAAAGAAGAUUUCAUUAUCUAAAUAAUGAUCCGAUAUUAGUUAUUAGAUUGAAAUGUCAGAACAUCAAACUAGUGUCUUAGAAAAUAUUGUUGUCGGAUAUCAAAUAUAGUCAUAGAAAUGUGCACAUUCAUAAGCAUAGUAAGAUUGAAUUAACUAGGGACAGCAAGAUGAUGAAUCAGGUAGAAAACGUUAUUAUCUAAUGAACAAAUACAGUUUUAGCUGUUUACUGAGUUUAAACUGUUCAAUUUAACUUCCUUCAAGAUGGAACAAACAUUAAAUAUAAACAUGUUGUGCAAACUUACAAUACCUUUUACUUAUCACUUUUGGAUGAAGGUCCAAGACAGCUAAAAAGCUAAACAAUAUAAGUCAGAGUUAUCCACUUUGCAGAACAUAGUGUAUCAAUUGGAUGAACGAACCAGAUUGAUGAAAACCAACGGCAGAGUAGGCAUUUAGUAACCGUACAGCAAAAGAAUACCUAAUGAACUCAAGGACAGACACAUAAUUGCCUAUGCACAAAUUCGUGCUAUAUUAUAGGUCCUAAGCUUCAACUCUUGCCAAAAUACCCAACCUUUUUUCCAUUAUUAGUCUCCACCAACCUCAUUCUCACUCGCACUCAUAUUUCCAGCCUAUUGUACUGGCAUGACAUGUGCUUUCCAAAUUUUAGACAUAGCAUUAACAUUACUACGAUCAUAUAGCAGUUUUUCUAAUAUGUAAAAUUGACAUGUAGCUGAAGUUAUCUUUCUUCUUUUCCUAAUGGCUGGUGGUUAUGAAACUUCCAACAUUUAAUAGCAUAUUCAAUUAUGUUAAUUCAUACUUUUGUUCCCAGUUAUACUCAGGAAGAUGAUAACAUAUAUGGUAAAUAACAAAUACAGAAAUGAAGAACAAAAAGGAAAAUUAAACAAAUAUGAAAAUAUGUAAAAUCCUAACAAAAACAGCUUCUGAAACUAGCAUAACCAAAGCAAAACAAAUAUAAAAUAUGCAACAAACAUGACCUUCAUCAAUUUACACAUCAUAUUUAACAUAUAGAUUUUCAGUCUCAAAUAUGGACAAUACAAUCUACACUCACACAUAACAAACUUCUUUUUUUAUUCAGAUAACAAGUUACUCUGGAAAAAGAAAGUACACUAGUUUCUUCUUUUAGGGCAAGUGCCCAUCUGUAGGAAGAGAGAAAGAAUAACAAAAAAUAAAAUGAAUGGACGGUCUGAGGAAGGAUUUUGAAAUCUUAGUAUGACAGGCAUUAUAGAAAUAGUUGGUGAGAAGCAUUCACAAAGCCGACCACAAAAAAAUGGGACAUGUCUAAAGGUUACAGUGUGAUCACAGCCUCAAAGGUUCAAAGCAAAGCAGCUUUAUGUAAAUCAUAAAUUCAUAUAGUAUCUAGAUGACACCAAUAGUUGAAGUAUCAAUUCAGAUGAUGAAUGUUGUACAUUUGUCCAAACUUCCACCAAAUUAUUAUUCAUAAUAAAGUGUUCCAAUUUUUCCUAGAGUUGUCAUCAAAAAUUGCAUGCACAAAUAAUGUCAACAAAGCAAAGGAAGUUUCUGCAUCUAUAAACUUCUGCUUAUGAAGAUUGUUUCUUCAAGCACACCCCAUAAUCUUAUCAUAUCCUCAUACCAUAAUCUUAAUUAUCAUAUUAGGGUUCACACCCUUCCCUUCUCUUGCACACCCUCAAACCAUAUGAACGUGAGAUCUCUAAUUUUCUCUCAGGCAUGACAUGUGGUUAUCAUGUUUAUUUCCGAUGUCUUUCUGUGUAUGUAUAUCAUCAUAUCUGACUGCGUACAUGUGCACAUUUCUAUUAUAUCCUGAUAUAUAUAAAAACUCCUCUUAUUAAAAAGACCCAAAAUGUUGGUUCUUGGUCAAAUCUAAAUGUUAGACUCGCAAAAAUGAUGCUAAGAAUCAAGGUUUUCUGUGCCAAACCCAUGUCAUCCAAUACCAGGCAUACCGUACUAACCUAAUAUAGUACCUUACUGCAACAACAUAUCGUACAACUACUGUCUCAUCUCCACAGUGCACCAUGUGUCAUUACAGACAUGUACCACAUUGAUGCUACCAGUAUGCUAACAGCAUGAUGUCUAAUACCAAGACCAAAAACCUUGCCAAGAACUCUCACUUGACUCCCGCUUGAUCGUCCAUCACAAAUUAGCCCCAAAUUUCACCAUUUUUAUCCCAAGCGAAAAACCGUUUUGGCACGACUGAGGCACUUGUACGGAAAAAAUAUAGGUUGUGAGAUUAAUUAUAUUGUAAAAUGCAGCAAAAGAAGGGAAGUGUUGGGAUGUUGGUUAGGAGUUAAUAAGAGGAUGCUAUAAAACUGUAGUUCUUUGCUUCUUUUUUUUGGAUAGCAUUGGCAUAAUUUUGCUCUGCUCCUUGAAGAACCUAAAGAGUCCAAAUACAAAUGCAUCCUCUGAGUCUACAUUAAUCCAUCCAUAUUGAGUAUUUACUAGGGGUGGCAAUCGAAUCGGGUCGGGUCAAAUAUGGGUCGGGUUGGAUGCGGUCGGGUCAAAAAAUCAUCAACCCAAACCCAAUCUGUUUAUUAAACGGGUCAAAAUUUCAAACCUAAAUCCGGCCUGUUUAUUAAACAAGUAACCCGACCCAACCCACAUAAUCCAUUUAUUAAACAGGUCAAGCCAAGUUAAGCAGGUUAUCCGGAUUUUUAAUGGGUUAAAUGGAUUUAAAUAAGUUAAACAGGUUAAGCGAGUUAGGUUAAAUAAGUCAGAAAUAGGUUAAACAGGUUUCAAAUAGAUUAAACAAGUUAAACGGGUUGGAUCAUAAUCCAACCCAAUUAUUAAACGGGUCAAAAUGGGUCAAAGGUUUAAACCUGAAUCCAACCCAUUUAAUAAACAGGUUUAGAUGGGUUGACCCAUUUACGACCUAAAUUUGUUUAUGUCAAACCCAAACCUGCUUCAAUCGUGUCAUUCACGGGUCGGAUUGACGGGCCAAGUCAUAAAUUGCCAUCCCUAGUAUUUACCGCAAAAAGAACAACUGUACUAGGGAUCCUAUUAUAGAUGCUCUAAGAAAAAGAAUAGCUUAAGAAAAAUCCCAAGUUAUAGAUGCCUACCAAGACUGAAUCCUGUAUGAUAAGAUCCUGGGAAAGUGACAACAAACUCUCCAGCAUUUUGCACCAAUCUGCAAUAAAGAAACAAAGACUUAUAUGCUCAUUAGUUAUGGAUUAAUAUAUUUGAAAAACUAGAAAAUAUAUGCCAAAACUAGAGAUAAUCAAAAAUUAAAAAAAAGGAAAAUAUGACAAACAUCACCUGCAGCAAGGGAUUCCAGCACCAGUAAGUACUUCAGGAGUCAUGACAGUGGUCUUCUCACCUAGUAAUGCAAAGGUCACUGCAAUCAAAUAUGCAAGUAGUUAGACAAUAUGUUCUCCUGAUCAACUAUUGGUCUACUAGAAGCAUAAACUUGUAAAAGACAAUAUUUGUAACCAAGAAAGACCACUCUAACACAUCACCUCAUGCAACAAACAAACUUAAUAUUGCAUCCAAAAUGGAUAGAUAGGUUUUAUCAUAUUACAUUAUUAAAAGCAAAUUAAAAGGGAAUAGUUUGUUAUUUUAGUAGAUUCUGGGGUUUGACGAGAGGGCAUUAGGAUCCCCUAAAAAGCAGCUACUAAACAACUACUCAUAACUCAUACCUUAAACCAGCAUGCCCUUGAAGGGUACUUCCAGAUGGUUUCAUGCAGCUGAGCCAAUUAAAUAAACUCCUGACUAGGGAAAAAGAACUUGCAAGCUAUUUUAGUCACGUGUUUUGUAUAUUCUGGCAAUGCCAUGUAUCAUUGCAUGUCAAUGCAUGCAAAUACCAUGUCACGGUGCCACAGACUGACCAACACCAACACAGUGUAAGUUACCAAUGCCAUGCAUUCUGUCCACUGCAACCAAACAUAAUAGGUCCCUUUGAACUCCAAUACCAUGAAAAAUAUAAAGCAGGCAUUCGGGCUUCAUUACAAUAAUAUAAAGAAAUAUAGGUUGAAGAACAGAAAGAGAAGAAGAGAAGGAAGAAGCAUAAAAAAAUAAGCCAUUACAUGAUUUUUCAGAGAAAAUAUGCAAACCCAUAAAUAAUAUCUGAAAGUCAAUCAAUUUGUUGAUUUAGGCAUUUAGGAAGACUUAAAAUUCUCCAUAAUGGAUUGUAUAGACUGGUACUAAUGCUUCUCAAUAGAUGCAUUACAAAUUAUAUAUAAACAAGUCAAAAAUUAGACUUAAGUUGGAUUAACAGAAGAAUGGAAAAACAUAGUGAUUACAAGCAAUUGUUGCUGCAAAUUUCAGCAAAACGAACACUUAGAGAAAUGACUACAGCUUCUUCAUCUGGAUUAUCAUUUCUAAGAUUCUUUUCACGCUGCAAAGCUAAUCCGGCUAGUAUUCAUAAUUGUCAAAAUGGUUAAGCAAUUGCUAUAUACUCUUCAUUAUCUAACCUUCUAGACAGCCUGACAGACAGUUAAGCAGUUCAAAAAGAAAAUACAAAAUGAACUUAAAAACAGGCCACUAUAUAUAAAACAAUCAUGUGAGAAAUAAUCUAUCAAAGACACUGAUUUGACUGUUGAAGAUUGAAAGGAUAGAAGACAAAGAAUAUGACUUUUACCAUUAAAAAUGAUGAUGAUGAUGAUGAUGAUGAUGAUCAAACAUUAAGAAGAAAAGGAAAAGAAGAGAUUUAGGUGGAUCUUUGAUGGUAAAAAAAUACAUUCAAAAGGAUGUAAGGAGAAAAGGAGAAAAAGACAUCAAGUACUAGGGGGAAGAGUAUAUAUUACAUGACAUGAUUGAUGAAACAGGUUACUUACUGUGACAAGAGGUUAGGAUGAGUGCAUGUAGGGCCAAAGAUUGGCUACUUUUCACUAUGUUUGGCACAUUUAGGUGAACUCACUUGGAGCAAAAUUCAACAUUAUAAACAAAAACCUAAACAUUAGAAUUUAAUAAUUAGAAAUAACGGAUAUCCUGAGUUUACCCACUAACUAGUAAAUCAUGAUUAUAAAAAAAUUAGGUGGUGACCUUUUUCCUUUCUGUUUUCUACUAGAUCAGCAAUAGCUUAUCUUUAAGUUCCUUGGGAUCUAAUACUGGUGAAGCUUACUUUCAAUUGCAACAUUUUCAGGAUUUACAGUCCACCUUAUUUGUUUCCAGCAACUAUUACCUUUAGAUCAUGAUUUGCACCCAUCAAGUUACAUCGGACACUUCAGUUUUUGUAGGGACAAACAUAGCGGAAGAAACAGGGGUAAAAACACUUGAUCCAUCAAUAUGACCUCACAAAUCAUUAUCCUUAAGAUGCAAGCACGAAAUGGACUAGCUCGCUCUGCUUGGUUGCCUACAGUAACAAGCUGAAUGUCCACAAAUGGUAUGCUCAUGACUACGAGUCUAUGAAUUGAAUCACAUUGUGAAUAGAAGGACUCUUGGAGUAAACCAUGCUUGGUGUCCCGCAAUGGAAAUGAACAUGUGGAAGCGUCAAAUACAUUCGAUAGAAGCAAAAUGUAAAGCUGAAAGAGAGCGGAGUCGCCAAGAAGAAAGACCCCGUACUCACCGAGACGAUUCACCUCCCCGCCGUACCCGUGCAGCCGAACGACCUCCUCGAACGCGAGCGCAGCAUCCCUGGGCACGCCAUACCACGUCUUGCCGGCGCCCAUGUGCAGGUAAUUCAAGCUGUGGAGCUCGUGGUCCUCGACAUGCCAGGCGAACCAGCUGAACAUCAUGGCCACAUACACCAUGGGGGAAGUCACGCCAGGGAUCUCCUCCUUCAUGAAGCGCAGCAGCGAGCCCUUGGCCCUGGACACCCCCCGCAUGUUCCACGCGGUCUCCCCGACGUUGGCGGCCUCCUCCUCCUCCUCCACCCCCCGCCAGCGGCGGGCAGCCCCAAGGGGGGCGAAGCCGGAGCCGGGCAUGUCGUUGGCGUACUCGACGGAGAAGGGCUUGUCGGCGCAGGCCUUCCAGAAGAGGGUCUCGAUUUCGAGCGGGGAGAGGAAGCUAGCGGCGGCCUUCUUGGCCUUCUUGAGGUAGGCGCGCUCGAAUUGCUUGGCCUUGGUCUCGAAUUGCUGGAGCGUGUAGUGCUCCCCGCUCUGCCAGACGGGCUUCUGGACGGGGCGGGGUCGUCGGGGGCAGAACCCGAUCUGCUGCUGGCGCGUGGCGAAGGUGGGGGGCUUCUUGGGGUUGGGCUCGCGGGCAGCGAAGGAGCGGUUCAGGUUGGCGAAGGUCGUCUUCCUGGGUGGAGCCGGGAGCGGGGGUACGAUCUUGCAGAUGCCGAAGGACGACGCCUCCUUCUCGAUCUUGAGGAUGUAAGCGAUGGGGUCCUGGAACUCGGCCAGGGUGGGGUGGUACUCGGGAGCCAACGGGAGGGAUUUCAGCCAUUGGGGCACCUCCGUGGGACCAGGAGGAGGAGGAGGAGGAAGAAGAAGAAGCGUUGGGUCAACCGAAGAUGCUGCUGCUCCUGCCGCCGCUGCUGCCAUCCCUGCUCCUGCUGCCGCUGCCGCCGCCGCUGCUGCUCGGAGCAAGAAAGAUGAGCCGGGAUUUCAUCUCAUUUUCUUGCAAUGAGCGAGUCUGGGAUUCUUGCGGCUUUUUUCUUAUCCUGCUGCUCUUCACCUUUCGGAUGGGGGGAAAAGAGAGAAGGCUCGGCAAGUUGUGGGGGAAGAGGCGAGGUUUUUGUGCCUGGGGGAGUGGGGAAAUGGGGUUUAAUAAUAGGAGCUGUUACGGCAGUAAAUAGCAUUGAUGCCAUUGUCGUUUUGAAAUUGAAAGGUUAUGCUGCCUUUUUUUGUCUCUUCUCUUCUUUAGGUUUUAUUCUAUUUCCAUUCUGGUUCCUCGGCACGCUCCCUUCCGGAUGGGCGCGGCCAGCGCCUGGGGUUCGAUCCAAGGGGGGCUGGAAUUGGCCUGGAUUGCGAAAAGAGUAUUUUAAUUCUGUCACGCAACGUUUUCUUUUACCGGGCACCGACCGGUGCGGUCCGUUUGGACGACUGCUCGGCCCAAGCGGUGGAACUCCCGAGCCACUUGGGAGGAUCUUUGGAUAUCGGUGCAAAAUUUGCAGAGCCGGUUGCAUGUGCUUCGAAUAAAAACUCGGCAGAAUGGCUCAGUUGAUGGAUGGCUUUUAGGCAGCUCAUGUAAUUAGAAAGACAAACAAGGCUGCAGACUAUAUGAAUGAUUUGAUUGAUUGUACUCAUGUUAGACUUAUAUGAAUGAGUAGCCAUUUCCACCCUAAAAAAAAAGAGGGAAACUCGGCUGUGAUAGUUGACCCAAGCUUGUUGUAUUUGAAGAGCAGCGUUAUCUUACACAAAUGCUACACUUAAUUGAUGUCGAAAACAUUGUCUUUGUAAAUUAUAAUGUCGAUGGUGAAGGCAAUUUUGCUGUCCAAAUCAAGGCAAUGGAAAGUGUAAGAGAUGGAUAUACAUGAAGAUCGAUGCAGCAUAUGCUUUUUAUUGGGUUGGGAAAUUUAACAUCUAGACAUCUUUAGGAUGUGGGUGGUAAGUGGUUAGUAUAAGGAGAAAUGUCGAACACGAUAAGAGUUGAUCGUGCGGAUGUUGAACAAUAAAACUUACCCUUUAUUAGGUAAUAAAUUGAAAAAUAAUCACUAAAAAUACAUGAUCGUAUAUUGAAUGAGUGUGAGCUAUUGUGUGAGAAAACGAUUGUAUUUGAUUUGUUAUUGCAUCUACUUACCAUGUUGAUAAGGAUGGAACCUUAUCUUGAACCAAUAAACCAUUCUAUGAAUAUCAAAUGCAUAUUCACGAGAGUUUGCCAAUUUGUAACCCUCGAUUACUUAAUGCAAACAUCUUAGGCAUUAUCAACUUGUUAUAAUUAAAUCAAAUACCAUAAGUGUUAUUUGACGUUGACACAAAGAGGAACAAAUAUAAGGAGCAAUACAUAAGUGAAACAAAAAUAAUAAAAGCAAAUAGGCUAAUUUUAAUACUUAGCAUAUAUUUGCCGACAAAGUAUAUUUAAAUUCUUCUGGUGAAAAGAAACCAUUACGUCAGAACACGUUAUAAACAUAAAAGAAGUUUUAAAUUAUUUACGACAAAACUCAACGAUAAAUAUGAAAUAUUUGCUAGAGGUUUGAAAGAGUAGAGAUAUGUCUCGAUCCCCACACAAACCUUAGUAUUAUUGUACAUAAACACGUAUACAUAAUCCAAGUAUCAUUAUACCCCCGGUUGCCACAAGCCUGGAUUCAUGAUUUCUAAUCACAAAGCCCACUCCACCUCUGUCUCCAUCACCAGUGAAGCUGCCAUCGAAGUUAACCUUGAAAAGACCAGAAGGUGAGGGCUCCCAAGAGACCAGAAUGAUCCUGGGCGCUAUAUAAGCUAAAUAGGAGCUCCAGAUGUUCCUGGCUGACCUAGACCUUGAUACAAUAAUAGUACUAGUGAUCUCUGCUGCAUGAAGUAAAGUUCUAUCUGCCACUAUCCUCAGGUGCACUUUUCUACCCUCAAAAAUCUGGAUGUAUCUGUCCAACCAUAUGUGAUAGAACACAUAUGUGCACCUGAUACCCCACUCCAGAGUGCUUGGUCACCGCCGAGCUUCCUUCAGCUGGUCUAGGAAUUUCUCUAUCGAAGCCACCCCACUGUGAUGAAUCUAUGACCCAACCCCACACCUGAUUUGCAUGGGGGCACCCAAAUAGUACAUGACUGAUGAUCUCCUCCUCACCGGGACAUCCCUCACAUGCUGAAGUGACCUGCACCCCUCGCCUUGCCAGCACACUUCUCGUUGGCAAGCAGCCCCUGUGAGGACCCAUGCGGGCGCAUGUUUAGUCCCACAUCAGUUAUUUGCUGGGUAGAUCUUGGGUACUUAUAUAGAAUCAAAGAACCCAAAUAAUACCUUUCGGCUAGCCAUUUUGGGUAAGGUCCUAGGUUGUUACAAAUGAUAUCAAAGCGGACCCAGCUUAUAACCUAUAUGGACUAAGAGACACUGCAACAUAGAUCUAUUGGGGCUAACCACGAGCAAAUCGUGGUGCUUGUGAUUAGAUUUAAAUGAAUUUGAACUCUUAGCCUGACGAGUACGUUAAGGCUUAAACGAACGGAGUAUGUGAGGGCCCAUGCGGGCGUGUGUUUAGUCCCACAUCAGUUAUUCGUUGGAUAGACCUUGGGUACUUAUAUAGGAUCAAGGAACCCAAAUAAUAUCUUUCAGCUAGCUAUUUUAGGUGAGGUCCUAUUUUGUUACAGCUCCAACUAUCUUUCAAAGAUAAAAGGCGACAUAGGGAUGAAUACGAAGCCUUCAGAUCCACCCACCAUCCAUUCGACAGGCUGACCCCUCGCUGACCAGGGCUUGUAGGUCACGGGCACCCACUUCGUCCCUCCAGUCGCACUCCACACCCUCUUGUCCCUGGUUUCCCCAGUAGGAAUUGGUAAGGCCAAAACCCUCUCCGUCAGCUGCUCCUCAAAAGCUCUGCACACUCGAUCCACAUCCAAUCUUUGAUAGGGCCAAAACUCUCUCCGCUAGCUGCUCCCCAAAAGCUCUGCACACUCGAUCCGUAUCCCAUCUUCUCUCCCCAGGUGCGAGCUGGUCACAUACUUCUUUCUGCUAGGCACUCUGGGUCAAAUAUGGUGGGCCACUGCCCGAGAGGCAGCUCAGCAUCAACAUCUCGGCCAUCCCCAAUGACCCAUCUAAUCCAAAGGAGCACCAUCGGAGUACGGGUGCAGAUCUCUCUCCAAAUGGAGCAGCGGCACCCAGUGCGAAAGACCGACCCAACCACUCGCUCCCCAUACUUUACCCUCAUCAGUAUGCACCAUAGGCUCUUGGGAUCUAGAAGGUACCUGGCCACAUGUCUCCUCGCCAUGAUCUCUAGCCUAGCUAUUAGGGAAUGAACUCUCAGACCUUCCCAUCCAGUCGGCUGACAAAUCAUGUCCCACGCAAGGAGGUGAGUGCUGCGUCCUCCCUCUUCUCGCCUCUCCCAAAUGAAGCUUCUGAACAUCUACUCUAGAGACCUCAAGGGUACCAUCAGAAUAAUAGCGUUAGAUAAUAAAUAAACUGGGUCGAGCUAAGGACCGACCUGACAAGGGUAAUCCUCUCCAUUAUCGAUAAGGCGACCGCUUGCCACCCCUCCAUCCUGUGCCUAAUGUUAUGCUCGAUGGCUGAGCAGUCCCCUCAUCGCAGUCGCGGACUAGUGAUCAAAACUCUCAAAUAUCUCAAAGUGUUCCCCUGCUCUCCCAUGCCCAGGAUCUCCAUGAUAGUUCUCUUAGUCGUAGCUUCAUCUUCGGGCUAAAACAAAUCACAGAUUUAGCCAGAUUUGCUUUUGGCCCGAAAGCCUCACAAUACGACCAGAAUCUCCCGUAGCAUCUGUACCGAAUGUCUUGUAGCUUGAGCCAACAAUAAGCAGUCAUCAGCAAAUAGCAAGUGGGAGAUCUGGACCAACCUCUCCACCAAUUUAUAGGCCUCCAGCGACUGAACCUCAGUAGCCUGGACAAUACAUCUGCCAAAUGAUACAUAAGAGAGGCAAUAGCGGACAUCCCUACCACAAUCCUACCGCAGACUCAAAGAACAGUGAUGGUAUGCUAUUCAUUAGGAUGGCAAAUGAAGGAGUCCGGAUGCACCCCAAAAUCCAUCUAAUCCACUGUUGGUGAAAACUGAAGCUCUCUAAGGAUUGCUAGGAAGCUUCAGUUCAUCCUGUCAUAGACUCCCUCCAUAUCAAGCUUGAUGCCCAUCAAGCUCCUCCUUCCAGCCGCUUUUUGAAGAUCGGCCAUGAACUCCUGGGCUAUUAGCAGAUUGUCGGAGAUGCUGCGCCCCCCAAAAACACCCCUUGCUCAGGGCGGAUGAGCCCUGGUAGAAGUCUCCCUACUCUUCUCACUAUAAUAUUUGUAACUAUCUUGUAUAAGGUAAUGCAUAGGCUAAUCAGAUAAUAGUAGCUCCGCUCUGAGGCAUCUUGUCUUUUUGGAAUCAGAGUGAUGAAGAUCUGCUUCCACUCACAUGGCAUGCUGGCCAAAAUGAAAAACUGUUGAACAACCUCAGUUAUAUCUUUCCUGAUAAUGUGCCAAUAUCUCUUGAAAAAUACUAGAGGAUAGACAUCCGAGCCCGGUGCCUUCUCCUUAGCUAGCAACCAGAGUGCCUUCUGGAUCUUCGUACUUGAUACUGGCCAAAUCAACUCUGCGUUCUUCUUCUUUGUCACCCUCAACACUGGUGCAUGAGCUGUGGGUGAUCCCCUACCACCCGACAUGACUGUCCAUCUGGAUUUGAAGACUGCACUAGCACACUCCUGAUAGCCUCAAGGUCCUCCAUCAUCUGCCCACUACUCUUACUGAUGCUGCUAAUUAUGUUCUCUACUAGCAAAUGACCGUCGAUUGGUGGAAGAACUUGGUAUUCCUGUCUCCCUUCCAUAACUCACUGAAUCCUCGACUUCUGUCUCCAUAGGAUUUCCUGCUGCCGAAGAAGUGAGUUGUGCAUAGCUAAAUAAGCUCUAAAUUGUCCCUACUCCUCCUCCGUCAAGCCCCCCCUCUCCUCCCGCUCCUAGAGGUGAGCAAUUGAAGCCUCAAUCUCCUCAAGCCUUCUGAAGAUGUUCCCCACCUCUACUCGAUUCCACUUCUUAAGUCGGCGUUUGAUCAACUCCAACUUCCCAGUCACCCUAUACAUCUCAUUUCCCUGCACGGUCAUCUGCCAAGCCUCUCUUACAACCUCCCACGACCAGGGGUAGGAAAGCCAAAUCUUCUCAAAACAGAAAAGGCUACCCAUGAUGUAUGAAAUGCUCGUUUCAGCAAAAAAAAAAAGGGCUAGAAAAAGGGCACACAAUCGAGGUACUCACCAUAAUAAGACAGUGGUCCAAAACUAUCCACGGUAGAUAAGAUACCUAAAAGUCCGACCAGUGCUGAAUCCAUUCCGCCGUGGCAAACACUUGGUCAAUCUGCUUCCAUACUCUCGCUUGGCCCCGUCUGUUAUUGCACCAGAUAGAUCUCGUCCCGAUGAAUCCCAAAUUAAUCAGUCUAUUCGCCGCAAUGAACUCCUAAAAUAUUCUGACUUCUAUCUCACAUGAAAAUGCCAUACCAUUUAUUUAUUCAACUGUCUUUCAACUACAUUUAACAAAUUUUAAAUGUAAAAUAUAGUAUAAAAUUCCAAUUUUGAUUCUACUUUGAAAUACUAAUUACCAUAAAUGUACUUUUUGCAGUUAGGUCCCAAAACAUGAUGGAAUUUUAUUACAUUCUUUUUAUCAUAAAGUAACGGACCAGAUCAACGAGCUUAUUAUUCUCAAAGAAUUCCACUCCACUAUCCCAGUGGUUUGAUGGACCGUGGGGACGGGAUCGGGCUCAGCAACAUAUCGCGGUCGCAGUACGAGGCGAUAAACCGGUCCCGGUUCGGUCUAGACUUCUCUCGAUCUCUUAUCCCACGAUCCCUCGAGAAACCCGAGUUUGCUUAUUAGGGUUCCACUUCGUCGCCUCUUCCCCUUUUAUUUUAGGAGCGCCAGCGAUAGCCGCGGUCGAUCCGGGCCGCCUCUCUUCCCAAUUUCUUUGGCAGAUUCUUCUUGACCCUGGGGAGCGAUGAUCGGCGCCAUCCUCCCCCUCCCCGCCCCGCCCUCCGAUGGCAAUCUCGGCCCUAUUCCCCCUGCCCAACUCCCCGACGAGAAGAACGAUGACGAGAAAGCUAAAGAAGACCAACCCGCCGCCGCUCCGGCGCCGGCGGUGGCGACCCACACGAGGACCAUCGGCAUCAUCCACCCUCCCCCUGACAUCCGGAUGAUCAUCGAAAAGACGGCCACUUUCGUCGCCAAGAACGGCCCCGAGUUCGAGAAGCGCAUCCUCGCCAACAACGCCGGCAACGCCAAGUUCAACUUCCUCAUCCCCUCCGAUCCCUACCACGCUUACUACCAGCACCGCGUCUCCGAAUUCCGCUCCCAGCUUCAAUCCUCCCAACAACCCGCCGCCGGCGCGGACUCCUCCCAGCAGCAGCAACCGCAGCCGCCCCCUCCCCCCGAUUCUUCGGCCCCCGCCGUACCUUCUGGCGAUUCUGCCGCCAAGCCCGAUCCCGCCGCCCCGUUCCGCAUCCCCCCUCGGAAGGUCCUCGAGCCGCCCGAGGCCGAGCAGUACACCGUCCGGCUCCCCGAGGGGAUCACCGGGGAGGAGCUCGACAUCAUCAAGCUCACCGCCCAGUUCGUCGCCCGGAACGGGAAGGGCUUCUUGAAUAAUCUCUCGAAUCGGGAGGCCACCAACCCGCAGUUCCACUUCCUGCGGCCCACCCACAGCAUGUUCACCUUGUUCACCGCGCUCACGGACGCCUACUCCAAGGUGCUCAUGCCGCCCAAGGGGGUCGCGGAGAAGCUGCGGAACGGCGUGACCGACAUGACCACGGUGCUCGAGCGGUGCCUGCACCGCCUCGAGUGGGAGCGGUCCCAGGAGCAGGCGAGGCAGAAGGCCGAGGACGAGAUCGAGCAGGAGAGGCUGCAUAUGGCGAUGAUCGACUGGCAUGAUUUCGUCGUGGUGGAGACCAUCGAGUUCGCUGACGACGAGGAUGAAGAGCUGCCGGUGCCGAUGACACUGGAGGACGUUAUCAGGAGGAGCAAGAUGUCAGCUUUGGACGAUCAAGUGCCGAUGGAGACCGUCGAGCCAGGAAAGGAGGUGGAGAUGGAGAUGGACGAGGAGGAGGUCCAGCUUGUAGAAGAAGGCAUGAGGGCGGCGAGACUGGAUGAGAAUGGCGAGGUUGAGAACAAGAGCAAAGCAGAGGCGGCUCCUGCAGAUGAACCGGAGCCUCCAAUGAGGAUAGUAAAGAACUGGAAGCGGCCAGAGGAGAGGAUCCCUGCCGAAAGAGACGCGACCAAGUUUGUCAUCUCCCCGAUCACCGGCGAGCUGAUUCCAAUUAAUGAGAUGGCCGAGCACAUGCGAAUCUCGCUCAUAGAUCCCAAGUACAAGGAGCAGAAGGAGAGGAUGAUGGCAAAGAUCCGGGAGACGACCCUUGCUGCCGAUGAUGAGAUCUCUAGGAACAUCGUGGGGCUCGCUCGAACCCGUCCUGAUAUCUUUGGGACCACGGAGGAAGAAGUCUCGAAUGCUGUUAAGGCGGAGAUCGCGAAGAAGAAAGAUGAACAGCCGAAGCAGGUCAUAUGGGACGGGCACUCCAGUAGCAUUGGCCGCACUGCGACUCAAGCCUUCUCCCAGAGUUUUUCCGGCGAGGAACAAGCGGAUGCUAACAAUAAUGAUGAUGAGAGGACUCUUCCGGGCCCUGCUCCUCCUCCUCCGAAGCCCGGUGUACCAUCAGUGCGUCCUCUCCCGCCACCACCGGGAUUGGUUCUGAAUAUUCCUCGUUUCCCUCCAAAUGCAGCCCCUUAUUCUUCCGCCGGCGCCGCCAGUGGAGGUAUGUUUGCCCCGCCGCCAAGGCCUGGAAUUGUCCCCAUGAUUUCAUCUGUGAGGCCUCCAGCUCCAUCAAUGCCUAUGACUUCAACCCAGCAGCCUGUUAUGAUGAGCCGGCCACCAUCCAUUCCUGUACCACCACCACCCGGAUCACAGUUCACUCCCUUGGUGGCUCCCCGACCAUAUAUGCCCAUGCCGCCACCUAACAUGCCAAUGGUCCUGCCGCCGCCUCUUCCACAAGGGUUGCCGCCACCACCUCCUCCCGAGGAAGCUCCUCCACCGCUACCUGAUGAGCCGGAGCCAAAGAGACAGAGGACUGAUGAUGUUUCACUCGUACCAGAGGAUCAAUUCCUUGCUCAGCAUCCGGUAAUGCCUAUUAUGAUCUUGAACAUUUCCUGUUGUUAUAUGCUUCUUUUUUCUUCAAGAUUUUUAGUCUUGUAUUUAUUUUAAUCAUUCAAUGGAUUGACUAAUGAUUACAGGGUAAACAACUAAUUCUACCUAUUACUUUUGUAGGGACCUGUUCGCAUUUCUGUAUCUGUUCCCAAUGUUGAUGAAGGAAACUUGAAAGGCCAGAUGCUGGAGAUCAUGAUCCAGUCUUUGUCUGAGACUGUUGGCAGUCUCAAGGAGAAGAUUGCUGGGGAGAUUCAACUUCCUGCUAAUAAGCAGAAAUUGAGCAGCCGAGCAGGAUUUCUGAAGGACAAUCUUACUCUUGCUUAUUACAACAUUGGCGCUGGAGAGACACUAACUCUUGCUCUAAGGGAGCGUGGUGGGAGAAAGAAAUGAUCUCUCCUUUUGUUGCAUUGGAAGGUUACCAUGGAAACGUUUUCAGGAUGAGACUUUUGCUUUCAGGAGGUGGAUAUUAAAACUUACCUAGGUUAGUAACUGAUGAAAUUUCCUGAUUCUUAGUGCAGAUGUGCAAUUAGGUUGUGAUCUUUUCUGAUGUGUUAUUGCAGAAUGCCAUGUCUUCCUCCAGAGUGCAAGGUGGCCAUGGCAUUAUCUAUUGCUAUUGUGUACUUAUGGUGUCCACUACUUUCAUUUCUCUCUCUUUUGUAACUGGUGCAUUUCUUGUGUAUGUUUUACAACUAUAAAUGAUAUUAAGGGUCUAUUGAUAUUUUUUAAGUCAAUGCCUUGUAUGUCCUGUAUAAUUUCAAUUCUACUGCAUGGUCCAGAGGUUCUACUUUCCAUAGGGCAGUUUCUAAAAGGUUGGUUAUAUUAUUCUUUAUGUUAUAAAGGUUGAUGAUGCUUAUUAUACAUGCAAUGCCUUUUACACCAUAUUCAGCAGUUCCCAUGUAGGACCGAUUGGGUUACAGGUAGUAUUCUUUUUUCUUUUCUUUUCUUUUCUUUUUUAGGUUUAAACCAAGGAUUGCCGAAUCGGUACCGAAUGUUGUACUGGUCGACAUCCGAUUCGGUUCGGUACCGGUUUGGAACCAAGCCCAUACCAAGAGAAUACCGGCUGGAGCUGAAAAAAACAGAAAGAGAGCGAGCGGGGGAGGGACGGAGAAGGAGCACUGCAUAUGCUUGUGGGGGGCUAGAGCCCGCGGGGGCGCAGUGGAGGCCGAGCCUGCGGCCGCGUUCCCUGUUUUACUUAAAAAUUUUCAAAUUUUUUUUCCUCCGCCGCGCUCCUACGACCUCUACCGGCCCGUUGCAGCCCUUCACAGGUAUCCGCGGCGCUCCUUUCUUCCUCCCCCGCUUGCUUUCUCUUUCUCUUCGCCUUCUCUGGCUUUGGUAGCGAACCGGUUUUAAAAUCAGAACAAUACUUCUAGACCACUGGUACAGUUCAGAACGGACGGAAUUGUCCGGUUUGGGAUGGUGUGCCGUAUGGUUUGGAACAAGUUUUGAACUGUUAAAUAAAUUUAUGUGUAGAGUCUGCAGCAUGCACACAGGUUUUGAUGUCUCGCCAAGCAGUUUUAAGACUCCACUGUAUAUGUUAGCUUCAUGCCUUGAGAUGGACUCAUAAUCUGAUUAUGUUUAUGUGAGUUUGGGAGAUAUUCUGAGAGCAUUUUAAACUAGCUCUCAACAUAAAGUUGUUGCUUCAUGAAAUAGUAUCAGGUUUUUGACCGAAGCAAUGAGUGCAAGGAAGGAGCCUGGCAUAAAUCUUAAUAGGCUGUUCCAUCCUUCUAAGCGUUUAUGUAUUCCCAUUUGGGACGAAGUAAUUGCAUCUAAACAUAAGUUUAUUGGAUGGGAUGAUUACCUACCCAGUCAUGGAGCCUCUCCAAUAUGGUGAGCUAUUUGUUUAGGAGCUAAGUGGAUUAAAGAGCAUAUUUGUAGUGGAAAGAGAAUUAACAUUCUGAAGGAUCCAUGGAUAUCGAGCACUUCUUCCCCUUCUUCAGUUCAACAACCAGAGUCUCCUUCAUCUUUGCCUACUUCGGAUACUCAUAAAACUCCAUGGAAAACUAGAGUACAUGCCUCAAAUUUUAAGAAAAAUGAAUAUAUUAUUAGAGAAGAAGAAGACAUGAAAUUACUUGAACUUGAAUAUGAAGCUUCCGAGGAUCCAUCACCAUUGUAGAGAAACAAGAGCAAAAAGAAAGCAAUUGACAUGAAUGAAGAUUGGGAUUAUUCUUCUAUUGCUUAUUGUUAUACUUCUACUAUUGUUGAUCAGCUAGAACUCACUUCAUAUAAUGAUGCCAAGGGCAUUGGUGUUUGGGAGGAUGCUAUGAAAGAAGAGAUUUCAGCUCUUAAGAAGAAUGAGACAUAAGAUUUAGUUCCUUAGUGGUAUUUCUCAUAUUUCUUGUAAGUAGGUUUAUAAGUUUAAAAAAAGAGUGAUGGCUUUAUUGAGCGCUACAAAGCUAGGCUUGUAGCAAGAGGAUUCUGACAAAAGUAUGGUGUUGAUUUUGAUGAAGCCUUCAGCCCAAUUGCAAAAUUAACUACUGUCGGAGUACUUAUUUCCUUAGCAACAAGCAAAAAAGUUCUAUCAUUCAAUUAUUAGUUCGACAAGUUAUUACAUGUUGCUGUUACUUUGGCAAUAAUAGCAAAGUCUAUUGUGGCAUUUCACAACAUCAACAAGUUUAAUGUUGUUGGCAUGAACUUCACAAUAAGUGAAAGUGUCGAGAUUUAUUGUCAAAUCCUAAUAUUCCUAAUUAUGUUAGAAUUCUAUUUCUAGUUUUAUUCUACUUAGUUAUUCCUUUUAGAGUAAUUAUCUUUAUUCUUUAGUGGUUAUCAAGUCUUAUCUUUUAGUGGAUGUUGGUUUUUGAAUUUGAAUAGGAAUCAAACAUCCCACCCAUGUAAUGCUCUAUUUAAAGGGACCUUUGGUAUCUUUUUUUUUUUGAUACAACGGUAGCUCAAACAACUGUAGUGUGAGUACAGCCAGUAGAAUCAAGAAAGAGAAAAUACGUAAACAUGAAGGGGUAGCUACAUCAGUAGUUCCUAGAACUACACCAGAAUGGCGAGCAACAAAAGAGGCAAUCUAGUCAGCCGCCCUAUUGGCCUCCUUGAAGACAUGAACUUUUUGAAAGGAAUCUAAGUCUCCCACCAGUCGACAGAUGUCAUGCAACAACGGGUGCCCACACCUAUACCGGUUCUCUCUCUGAAUCCAAUCAAUCAUGAUAGAAGAGUCCCCCUCAAGAUACACCCUGUCUGCAUCAAGCACCCGACUCGCAAAGGUGAUACCCUCCCAAGCUGCCUGAAGCUCAGUCCCAAUAGCAGUCAUGCCCGGAGAAUGCCGUCCUCCUACUACAAUCAACCUAGAUGCAUGGUCCCUGAUCACAAAACCAACUCCACCGCUAGCUCCAUCGGCGGAGGCACUGCCAUCAAAAUUCAUCUUGAGAUGGCCCGGAGUCGGGGCAUCCAAGAGAAAAAGGUAAAUAUGGACGCUGUUGCAAUAGAGUGGGUGUCCCAGAUUUUUCUAGCCAUCCCAGAUGAAUCCGCAGUAAUGGCUAUAGUAAGCUCUCCUUUAGUGUAGUGUGAAAAAAGAGAGAGAAUGUGAGUGAGAGUUGUCCUUCUUGGUGAGACUUGGGAAGUGCCUUUUUGCGUGGUUUAAAUUUUUAAUAUAAAUAUUUUUUCUCUCUCCUAAUUAUUUUCUUCCGGCAUCUUUUUUCUAAUUUUUGUUUGAUUUUGUUCUAGAUCUUGGAACGGCACGGUCGAUCUACUCCACAUAGCAUACCGUUCUACAUGUUUCACAUCAAUCAUCUUAAGAAGGUUUAUGUUUAUUGUUUUUCUAAAAGAUGUCGUCAAGAUUGACAUUUAAAACCGCUAUCAUCACUCUCUCAUCAGAAUGAGUUGCUAAGAGAUAAAAGCUUAAACAUGCCUCAAUGAAUUUGAAGGUAACCUACAUAACAUGACAGGAGUGAAAAAGAGAAGUUAAACCACCAGUUGAAUCUAAGACAAAUAUAUUUCAGCGUUUUCUGAAGCCCUCGGAAAAUUUAGCAGUACUUCAGUAAGCUUGAGAAGCAAUUCUGAAAUUAACAUCCACUCGGUGGGAUCUUGGGUAUUGAUGGCGCUGAUAAACAUUUUGUCCAGCAUCUUACAGCUCUUAAGAACAACCUCCAGCAGCGUAAUUUCUUUCUCACAGUCCGUUAGGACUUUGUUGAUGAUGUGACUUGCUUCACCGUAAAAAGAAACUUCAGUAGUGCGAAAAAGGUUGUAUAUCUGAACAGUCUUGAGAUGCAAGAGGGACGACAUGGCAAGUUCUAACAUUUCCCAACCUUCGCUCUCAGCAAUGUCAUAAUUUCUUCCAACCUAAAUUGUCAAGGUAGAAACAUCAAACAUGGAAGAAAAAAGUAAUGUAUUGAGCCUUGAAUUUUCUCCUUACAUAUCCAACCAUCAUCUGAAUAUCUACAGCAAGAGUCGCCAGAUAAUGUGAAUUUAUCAGCAAAUGCGCGAUCCCUUUAAUUUCGCAUCUGUUCAAACUAGCACCCAAUUCCAGACAUGUAGUGCUAAAAACUGAAUUUUCAAGAAUUGGCUUCCCCAUCAAAGCCAUAUUCUGCACACAGUAAAACAGGUAUAAAUGAUUAUCUUUUGAUGAAACCAUAGUUUAGUCAGAAUCAUACUUCAUACCAAGUCAUUGAAUCAAUAAAUGGGAUUCAGAAGUCUAUACAACUUAAACAUAAGAUUUUUGAAAAGACGUGAAAAUUUCUAACCAUAACUAAUAAGCCUUGAGACAAGUGAGUAUGUCAAAUGCCCACGUCAAUAAAACUAUACUUUUCAUUUCUAGCUGAGCCAGAUAGAAAACAUGAGUUGACAGCGAUACUAAUGCUUUUCUGACUUCUUGCCAUUCUUUGCAUACAAACAGGACUAAAUGGAGUAUUUUAGGCUACCUGAUCAUCAUGUUUUGCUCUGAAAGUAUCGAAAGCAUGUCAACAAGUUUCAUAGAAGGUAAAGAGAUACCAAACAUGGAAGGUUUUCCAGUCAGAACAGAAAAGAUUUAAAGCACAGGGGUGUCCCUCGUAGGAAUUUCAUAAUGUCAGGAUAGGCAGUCAUUCAGAGUUCAACUAGACAUGCUACAAAGUGGCUGUAUUCAGAAGCGGCUUUCUCCACAUGCUGCAGAUGACAUGCUCAAGUAGUCAAGCUAUGGCAUUGUUCUGCAAAAUUCAUGAUUGCAACUAUCAUCUCGUUCAGUGAGCCUUAACGAACAACACUUUUGGUGUUGAACCUAGCAUAACUAUAGCAAAUUUACAAAUUUUAGCUUUGAAAGUUAGCAUAAUUUUCGCACAAAAUUGAAGAAUGCCAGACAAAAACUACUGGUGAAUAAGCAUUUGCAAUGACCAUCCGAAUAGGCUUAGAUAAGAAUUGUUAAUAAAAGUCUUAAUUUGUACUUUUUUAUUUUUCAAGAUAUAAGAAAUCUAAGCACAAUUUCUUAAAUAAAGUUUGAUACUAUGAAUUCAAUGUGUCAUUUCAUGUAUAAACAGAUGCCUUAUAUGCAAUAUAUCGAAAAAAACACAUUGAAAAUGUGUUUUUUUUUUUAAAAAAAAAACUAAAAUCAUCACACUUCACAAUGUGAAAAACAGCUGUUUGUAAACAAUCACAUAAAAUGUGGAAUCAUGCCUUACAUUUCUACAGAAAAAAAAAGAAACAAGUUGGCAUUGCACCGAGCGACACUGCCCUGUAUCACCUGGUACUGCCUGAAAUGAGGGCGUGUACCACCCCGUACCAUCCGGUUUUGGGUGGUAAUGUGAUAAAAAGUUUUUUUAAAAAAAGGGUCGGGACCUGUCUCAGUAUGGGAUGUGUACCAUACCAUACUGUACCAAACUACUAACGUAUCAGUUUGGUAUCCAUUACCAAGAUUGUGGACCUUGAUCGUCUAUCUAUAUUCUCAUGUUUAUACCAUACUGGGUUUCUCACUACAUAUCAAAGCUUAAAUAUUAGAAUUAGUGGAUGUUUUGAUGACUGCAUACCAGGAUGCACCAAUUACAGAGAUUAAGAGUAAACUUCAGUACUAAAUGCAAACAUAAAGAUAGAUUAGACACCUGUUAGACACAUUUCAUGAUAAGCAAGUGUGUGGAUUAUCUGAAUUAGGUUUAACAAUCAAACCCAUUGAUAUAUUCAACCAAAGGUAAACUCCUCAAAAUCCAGGCAAGAACAGCGGCAGUAACAACAGUGACAAGAUUAAUAGUCAAGGUCCAGCUAUGAUGGAGGUAGACACCGUAAGUUUUUCUUUUUUUGUCUCAACUUUCUUUGUUUGUUCUUUCUCUUUCUUUUGCUUCCUCUUACCUCUCUUUCUUUCGUCCCUUCUUUCUUGCUAUUGUUGCAGCUCUUUGUAUCUCUGUAAUACGACUUUGGUGGUAAUAAAUGGUAUCUUCUCUAUUUAUAAAUAAAUUACAGGCACUUCUGUGCAUUACUAAUUAUCAUCAAUUACUAGAAUUUUCAAUAAACUAGAAAUGAUAAUGCUUGUCAAACAUAACAUAGUUAUUUAUGUGAAAAUUUUAUUCUACUGUUCCCCCCAUAACCAUGUAUUAUUUUUCGACGAUUCAUCAUAUUGGCAUGUUUUAUCAUGCUGUUCUUGUAUCAUAUAUCCAUGCCAACACUUUAUAGAUCCAUAUCCAAGUGUUAAAUAAUAAAGAUAUAUAUUGCAUUCUGGUUGUUACACAUCUUUGUAUGUUUUAAGUUGAAAUCAUCAUUUAAUUUAUGCCAUUUACUUUUUAAUAAUGCACAGAAAAAAUGUUUUAUAGAAGUAAAUAGAUUAACAAGCAUGUAACUCUAGCAAGCAUGCUUUGAAUUGAGCUUCACCAUCGAAUUACUAAACCUUUGUAUCCAUCUUAAAGGAAUGCAAGGGAGACAUGCACUAGCUUCUUAUGCAGAGCUGCCUUGCCUCUCAUUGGCCAAUGCCAUCUAGGUCCCCCCUCUCUGGGAAAAGAGAACCGCCACUUCCAGCUCCUUGAGUAAAGGAAAGAAUCCAAUUCCUACAUUUAAGUGAACUAUGAAGAUUAUCAAAAUAAAUUUUAAAAUCAUAUUUUUUAUAAGUUUCUAGUAACUAAUGUUUGAAAUUUGUGGCCAAAAUUUUCAUUUCAUUGUUCAUUGGUAACUUAAAUCAAGCAUUCAAUCUGAAGCUCCUGCCUCCCUAUAUUGUCAUGGGUAAAAUAUACUACUAAAACUUAGGAGGCAUCAUGUGUCAUGUAAUGACGAUGAACAAGAAAAAAAGGUUGAAAACAAAAUUGAAAUUGACGAGAGGUUGGAAAGUAAUUAUUGGACUGUGAUUUGAAAUAAAGGGAAAAGCUUUAGAGGAUAAGGAUAUAGGAAACCAUAAAAUUAGCAUGUACUAUAUGAAAAUAGAAUAAUUUCAUAUAAACAUAAUUGUACACGUUAUAACUGCACAAGAGAUAUCCCAAUUAGAAAGUCUUGAAUGUGUUAACAAACAAACAACUUUUAUACAAUAUUUUUGCAGUGCAUAUGAAGUUGUGAGAGGUACUCCUAAGCAGUCAUAUGACCUCAGAUGCCUCUAUGCAUGAACAGAAAAACUUGACGGUAAAAACGUAUGACAGUAAUGGUUGCAUUUUUCUAUGGCUUAGAGUGCAACAAAUUAAGAAGGUCCAUGCAUUGGCGAUGGGUAUAGGAGAGAUAGAAAAGUUGAGGUGGAGGGGUUACACAAAAGGCAGAUAGUUACUGAGUAUUUUGAUGAAAUUUUAAGAUUUUAUCGCCAAUAGAUGAUGUAAGAGUGAAAUGAGGUGAUAAGGUCCCUUCCAGCAAAAAAAUUCAAAGGUUUUGUCAAGGAAAGAAGCUUGAAUUUGUCAAAUUGCCAAAGGGAUCCAACUUGAAAAAUUAAAUGAAAGUUGCAAGCAGAAUUUUAAAAGGCUUACCUUGACGAACUAUGUAGCUCUAGAUAAGAAUGAAUGGUGAGAAAGAAUUUCUAAUACCCACUACAAGGAGCUUAAAUACGAAAUAUUGCCAGAAGUCUUAAUUUACAUUCUUCCUAUGAAGAUAUGAGCAACCUAGCAUAGAUCUUUUCUUGAAUUUUGAUUUAAAUUUACCCAUCUCCAAAUCAUUUUUCAUGAAAGACUUUGAUGGUUGAGACCCAUUUUCCCUUUUGAGUUAAAUAUCAACAGGGCUUUUAAGGGAAAUGCCCGUCCGGUGCUCGGGAAGGGCUGGCCAUAAAUUUUAAUGGUGUUCGACUUUUUGCCUUUUCCUUUCAUGGUUUUGCAACUAAUGUUGAAGCUGAGAUGAGAGCUGUCACUGAGGAAUUGACUAUUGUGUUGCCAAAGGUUUUUGUGAAAAUCCAAGUAGAGAAUGAUCCCUUCAAUUUCCUUGAUCCUACUGAGAAUUUUGCUGGCUGAUUUUCACUGCUUUUGGAAUGUUUGGUAUGAGCUUUUAAAAUUUAGGGAUUUGGAAGCCUCAGUGAGUCUUCAAAUAUCACAUCCAUUUAAAAGAGGUGAAUAUGGAAGCUGACUACCUUUCUAAUCAUGCCUAUGAUCAAAAACAAAUUGACGGUUCCUUUCAGAAGCUAUGCAAACAUCAAAUGUUAAAACAGAUAUUGAUCCAUUUGAUGUUUUAUUUCUUGUAUAGCUCUUUUGAGCACCUUCAAUCUUUUUUGUAUCUCUUCUUUUCUAUUCGAAUAAACUGGUAGGUGUCAGCCAAACCCCCACUCACGAUGAGGUGAUCAUGAUAAGAAAAAAAAAAAAAGAAGAAAGCAUAUUAAACUUAAAAAAUGAGUGAAUGAAAUGUUGAGAAGAAUGAAAUAUCCUGCUUUUUGGACUUGUCUAAUCCUCAACACUUCAUAAAAUGUGAAAAGCUGGUAUGCUUAUCUGUUCGCAGGAAAACAACCAUACAGUAAGUAUUAGCAUGCCCUACAUUUUGAAGAAACAAUCAGAUCACAUUGAAGAGGACUUUGAACUGCUUAUAUUUUGCAACAACAACACACAUAAAUCAAGACAGAAUUUAAAUAUAAAUGGGAAAAUUAAAGAUUAGAUAAAUGGUAAUUAUGAGAAAAAUCAAUGUAGAUAAUGACAGAAAUAGCAAAGUACACUGAAAUAUAACAAUUAUCAGAUUUACAUUUAAAAAGAAAUGAAAAUGAAUGAAUAUAAAAAUACUCCAUUUGCUACAUAUAAAUCUACAAGUUAUCAUAUAUAUAUAUAUAUAUAUAUAUAUAUAUAUGAGACUAAGAAAAAGAUAUUGCUCCAUUGCUCGAUGCUUUUGUACUUGUCUUCUGCAUUUUAGUUAUUUCAUUCCUUUAAACUAUUCAAAAUUCCAAAAAGAAAAGGAAUCCGUAGUUGACACUGUCAGUAUCUUAUAUCCAUGUCCCCUAGCUCUAGAUGAUAUCAGGAUUCUCAACUAAAUGCAUAUUACAACCAAAGCUUGAAAUAUUGCAAUUAGUGGAAGUUUUGAUGCCUGCAUACCUGGAUGCUCCAUUGACAAAGUUUAAGAGUUUUAACAUGGCUAAGACUUUCAAGAAGUUUCACCGACAUAUGGUCGCCAAAAAGAGUAUAAGCUGUUCUGAACAUGCCUGUAAAAUUAAGACAAGCAUGUGUAACAGAUGAUAAAUUUUUAAUAGAGUAGCCAGAAUGCCGCAUAUAACCACUGAUUUCGAUGGACGACAGGUAUGGAGCAUCAAUUAUUAGAUCACCGCUUGCAUAAAGGACAUCAGACACGUCACAUAUCUUUAAUUUUUCGAGUUUAUGAUUUGGAGAAUAUAUGCUGAGAUGCUUUCUGCUGUUGCAUCCAUACAGAGUUAAACUUUCAAGAAGCGGGAAGCCAGAAGUAUUCAAGUCUGACACAAUUAUGACAUGGUAGAGCUUCAGUGUCCUCAGCGAGCCAAGACACAAGGAUGGCAGCAGAUUUAGAGCACAGCCUCUCAAUCUCAAUGCUCUUAAUUCACCACACUGGGAAAACAAUCCAGGCAUCAGAUUGUAUAAAAAAAAGUGCAAGUUGCCACUAUGGUAUCCAGCGAUAUAGUCCAUAUCUAGCUCUUCUACAUUAUGCUGCGCAGCAAAGCGGAGCCAUGCAUCGAGAGUGCAAUGACAGAUGCGGCUCUGGUCGACACGAGCGCAAAAUUUCUUAAUCUUUGAGGCAUUGUAAAGCAUCAGGCAAUAGUUAAUGAAUGAUUCAAUGGACCAAAGCGAGAAUUCAGGCUCGUGGGUGCCGAAGUCCAAGACAGGAACCUGAGUCCACAAGUGCCUCCAUCUUCUUGACAGAAUGCUUGUUCGGACGACCUGACACAUUGGCAAGAACGAUAGGAUGUGGAGGAGCACGACCUCGGGCAACUCACUGAUCCUGUCCUCCAUCGGGCAACUCCUGUGUUUAUUUUAUAUUCAAUACCAUAUUUAUCAAUUAAGUCUCAUGCAAUUAGCAGCAAGAACAGCUGCACCCUCUUGGAAACCAUAAUCACACAGAAAUUAAGAUUUAUUGCAAGAAUUAUGGGUCCACAAAAAAAUCAAGAAAUGCAAAGGAAAGAGUGUAUGUUUUAUAUUCAAGACUGUGCUUAUCAACUCAGUCUAAUCCAAUCAGCAGCAAGAACAGCUGCAUCCUUUUGGAAACCAUAAUCAUACAGAAAUUAGGAUUUAUUGCAAGAACUACGGGUCCAAAAAAAUCAAGAAAUGCAAAGGAAGGAGUGCAUAUUUUAUAUUCAAGACUAUAAUUAUCAGCUCAGUCUCAUCCAAUUAGCAGCAAGAACAGCCGCAUCCUCUUUGAAACCAUAAUUGAACACAAAUUAUGAUUUACUGCAAGAAUUAUAGGUCCCCAAAAAUCAAGAAAUGCAAGGGAAAGGGAUAGAAUAUAGAAAAUUAGAACAAAAAAACUACACCUAAUUUUCUUUUCUUUUUCAACCUGUAGAAAAUUAUGCAUUUCUUCUUGUUACAUUAACAUGCAGGAAAAUAAUUCAUGUUGGAAUAGAUCAUAUGUUGUGAACAAACCUUCGAUGCUUUACCUCCAACGCUGGAAGAAAGGGAAGAGGAAGGAGGAAUCUUGGAAUCCUUCUCUCUUUUCGAUAGAAAUCUUGGAAGCCCUUCUAGAAAGAAAGAAAAAAAACCGGAGCGCGGGAGGAAGUCUCGAACACGAAGACCCGUCCGAAAAGACCGGUAAAAUGCGUCAUGUAUAGGGAGGAUCGAUGACACGUCAGCCGGAUGAGACCCGAUUUGAUCCGGAUCCGACCCGAAUUGGUUAAGGUACGAGAUACAGACCCUGAUCCAAUUCCUUGGCACGUUAGCUCAUGUCAACUCCCAUUUGGGUUAGGUCUAGGCAAAUUUAAGGGUCCAAGGCNNNNNNNNNNNNNNNNNNNNNNNNNNNNNNNNNNNNNNNNNNNNNNNNNNNNNNNNNNNNNNNNNNNNNNNNNNNNNNNNNNNNNNNNNNNNNNNNNNNNNNNNNNNNNNNNNNNNNNNNNNNNNNNNNNNNNNNNNNNNNNNNNNNNNNNNNNNNNNNNNNNNNNNNNNNNNNNNNNNNNNNNNNNNNNNNNNNNNNNNNNNNNNNNNNNNNNNNNNNNNNNNNNNNNNNNNNNNNNNNNNNNNNNNNNNNNNNNNNNNNNNNNNNNNNNNNNNNNNNNNNNNNNNNNNNNNNNNNNNNNNNNNNNNNNNNNNNNNNNNNNNNNNNNNNNNNNNNNNNNNNNNNNNNNNNNNNNNNNNNNNNNNNNNNNNNNNNNNNNNNNNNNNNNNNNNNNNNNNNNNNNNNNNNNNNNNNNNNNNNNNNNNNNNNNNNNNNNNNNNNNNNNNNNNNNNNNNNNNNNNNNNNNNNNNNNNNNNNNNNNNNNNNNNNNNNNNNNNNNNNNNNNNNNNNNNNNNNNNNNNNNNNNNNNNNNNNNNNNNNNNNNNNNNNNNNNNNNNNNNNNNNNNNNNNNNNNNNNNNNNNNNNNNNNNNNNNNNNNNNNNNNNNNNNNNNNNNNNNNNNNNNNNNNNNNNNNNNNNNNNNNNNNNNNNNNNNNNNNNNNNNNNNNNNNNNNNNNNNNNNNNNNNNNNNNNNNNNNNNNNNNNNNNNNNNNNNNNNNNNNNNNNNNNNNNNNNNNNNNNNNNNNNNNNNNNNNNNNNNNNNNNNNNNNNNNNNNNNNNNNNNNNNNNNNNNNNNNNNNNNNNNNNNNNNNNNNNNNNNNNNNNNNNNNNNNNNNNNNNNNNNNNNNNNNNNNNNNNNNNNNNNNNNNNNNNNNNNNNNNNNNNNNNNNNNNNNNNNNNNNNNNNNNNNNNNNNNNNNNNNNNNNNNNNNNNNNNNNNNNNNNNNNNNNNNNNNNNNNNNNNNNNNNNNNNNNNNNNNNNNNNNNNNNNNNNNNNNNNNNNNNNNNNNNNNNNNNNNNNNNNNNNNNNNNNNNNNNNNNNNNNNNNNNNNNNNNNNNNNNNNNNNNNNNNNNNNNNNNNNNNNNNNNNNNNNNNNNNNNNNNNNNNNNNNNNNNNNNNNNNNNNNNNNNNNNNNNNNNNNNNNNNNNNNNNNNNNNNNNNNNNNNNNNNNNNNNNNNNNNNNNNNNNNNNNNNNNNNNNNNNNNNNNNNNNNNNNNNNNNNNNNNNNNNNNNNNNNNNNNNNNNNNNNNNNNNNNNNNNNNNNNNNNNNNNNNNNNNNNNNNNNNNNNNNNNNNNNNNNNNNNNNNNNNNNNNNNNNNNNNNNNNNNNNNNNNNNNNNNNNNNNNNNNNNNNNNNNNNNNNNNNNNNNNNNNNNNNNNNNNNNNNNNNNNNNNNNNNNNNNNNNNNNNNNNNNNNNNNNNNNNNNNNNNNNNNNNNNNNNNNNNNNNNNNNNNNNNNNNNNNNNNNNNNNNNNNNNNNNNNNNNNNNNNNNNNNNNNNNNNNNNNNNNNNNNNNNNNNNNNNNNNNNNNNNNNNNNNNNNNNNNNNNNNNNNNNNNNNNNNNNNNNNNNNNNNNNNNNNNNNNNNNNNNNNNNNNNNNNNNNNNNNNNNNNNNNNNNNNNNNNNNNNNNNNNNNNNNNNNNNNNNNNNNNNNNNNNNNNNNNNNNNNNNNNNNNNNNNNNNNNNNNNNNNNNNNNNNNNNNNNNNNNNNNNNNNNNNNNNNNNNNNNNNNNNNNNNNNNNNNNNNNNNNNNNNNNNNNNNNNNNNNNNNNNNNNNNNNNNNNNNNNNNNNNNNNNNNNNNNNNNNNNNNNNNNNNNNNNNNNNNNNNNNNNNNNNNNNNNNNNNNNNNNNNNNNNNNNNNNNNNNNNNNNNNNNNNNNNNNNNNNNNNNNNNNNNNNNNNNNNNNNNNNNNNNNNNNNNNNNNNNNNNNNNNNNNNNNNNNNNNNNNNNNNNNNNNNNNNNNNNNNNNNNNNNNNNNNNNNNNNNNNNNNNNNNNNNNNNNNNNNNNNNNNNNNNNNNNNNNNNNNNNNNNNNNNNNNNNNNNNNNNNNNNNNNNNNNNNNNNNNNNNNNNNNNNNNNNNNNNNNNNNNNNNNNNNNNNNNNNNNNNNNNNNNNNNNNNNNNNNNNNNNNNNNNNNNNNNNNNNNNNNNNNNNNNNNNNNNNNNNNNNNNNNNNNNNNNNNNNNNNNNNNNNNNNNNNNNNNNNNNNNNNNNNNNNNNNNNNNNNNNNNNNNNNNNNNNNNNNNNNNNNNNNNNNNNNNNNNNNNNNNNNNNNNNNNNNNNNNNNNNNNNNNNNNNNNNNNNNNNNNNNNNNNNNNNNNNNNNNNNNNNNNNNNNNNNNNNNNNNNNNNNNNNNNNNNNNNNNNNNNNNNNNNNNNNNNNNNNNNNNNNNNNNNNNNNNNNNNNNNNNNNNNNNNNNNNNNNNNNNNNNNNNNNNNNNNNNNNNNNNNNNNNNNNNNNNNNNNNNNNNNNNNNNNNNNNNNNNNNNNNNNNNNNNNNNNNNNNNNNNNNNNNNNAACAAAGUACAGAAUUCAAGGGGGCAAAUCUUGGUUUCUUGCAUAUUUUUUUAUGCGGACGUUUGGAUUUUUUUUGGUGUCCUGAUGACAGAGAGAUUAUUAUUAUUAUUUAGCCUUAGACUAACGCGUCACCAAUAUAAGCCCAUUUCCCCACAAAUAGACAUAUUAAGACCCAUACGAGGAAGGAAGGGUCCCUCUUCACCUAAGCAAUGGAAUCACCCUUCAUCGGCCAUCUCCAAGAACAACCUACAUGGGUCCUUCUACUCUCAUUUCUGGGGUUCCUUUCUCUCCUCCAAACUUCCAUAACUCUUCUCAAAUGGGCCUACGCCGGCUUCCUCCGGCCAGGGAAGGACCUCAAGGCCUACGGCUCGUGGGCACUGGUCACCGGAGCCACCGACGGCAUCGGGAAGGCCUUCGCCUUCCAGCUAGCCCAUGAAGGACUCAACCUAGUCCUCAUUGGUAGAAACCCAAGCAAGCUUCGACGGGUCUCCGGCGAGAUAAAGGCCAGGCAUCCCUGCACCGAGAUCAAACUGGUCGUCAUGGAUUUGGCCGGCGAUUUAUCGGAUGGGAUUCGACGUCUCGAAGAGGAGAUCAAAGAGUUGGAGGUCGGGAUCUUGGUGAACAACGCCGGCAUGACGUACCCACAGUUCAUGUACUUCCAUGAGGUGGAGGAGGAGCUGUGGGAAGGUAUCGUGAAGGUGAACGUGGAGGCGACGACGAGGGUCACACAGGCCGUCCUGCCGGGGAUGAUGAAGAGGGGGAGAGGCGCAGUUGUUUGUAUUGGCUCAGCAUCUUCCGUGGUGGUGCCUUCGUUUCCUCUCGCUGCUGUGUAUGCUGCUACUAAAGCGUGAGUACCACCUCUCAUACUUUGUGUUCUAUUCUUAUGGCUCUUCCAAAAUUUGAUAUAAGUAACGGACUCUUUGGACCGUUGCAAGAGAAAAAAAGUAGCGAUUGUAAGUUGGAGAAUGAUGAAAAAUGAUGAAAAAUAACGAUAUUAGUUAUUUGGUCGAAUCAUUUUUAACAAAAGGAGAGUAACAACAUUUGAACUGAUAUCGAAAUUUUAGAUUGAAGGAAAUAUUUUGAUUUAAUGAACAGUGGCUGAAGGUAAGCCAUCAUCACGUAAUAUAUUAUUUAUUUAUUUAUUUAUUUAUUUAUUUGGCUAGGACGGAUGGAUCAUAUUAGACGAGUAUGGAUGCAUCCAAUAAAAUCAAAAAAUAAAAUAUCUCGAAGUGUCAAGAGUAACUCUCCAUCUCUAGCCCACAGGGUACUACUUGAGUGGCUGGCAGUCACACAGUCUGCGGCCUCAUUAGCUUCACAAAAAUAUGCUAGGCCUAAAAACCCUUUUUAUCUCUCAUCAUGCUUCAGAUAUUUCGGAAUAAAGAAUGGACGCAACCAUUGCCUUUUGAUCCUCGGAUCUACGUACUAUUUAUUCAUAUAUACUCGUAGCUUACUAAGUUUUUUCUUUUCUUUUUUUUUUAAGGUAUGGGUGGGUUAAAUAUUUUAUUAAUAUAUAUAUAUAGAACUAGCAAUUUUAUAGGACUUUUGAAUACAUACGUACUCAAUCCAUAGUCAACAUGAAGAUAUUAUUACUUAUACCGUAUAGACCGUAGGGUAGUUAAUUACAGUCGCUCUUAUAUGCAGACUGUUACGCCCCCGCCUGCGCGAAGUACAUGGGGGCAACAUGAGGGAGAAACACGGGGCUCCCCUGCCAGAUAUUGUUCGGUUCCGGAGCUUCACGCAAGCCCGUCUGUGCAAGGCACGUGCCUGGAGGAUUAGAAGACACCCACCUCAUAUGCUCAGGCUCUGAAACGAGUCUUUUCGAUGUGAAACUAUUGAGCCUCACACAGAUCUUAUUUAUAUCCGGAUGCAUCAUCUUAGAAUCUAACUGUUGUGAUUGGCUGCAUGCACGAUGUGGUGAUGCAUACAAUAUUGAUAAUAAUUUCAGCUAUAGAUUUUUAAAAAUAUCCGCUACUGAUUUUGUCUGCCUGUAAUGACGUAUCCUCUGCCUCGACAACAGAAAGUAGGAGAUAAAUUUUCUUGCUUGUAUAUGAUUAUUAAAGUUCGUGAUAAGUGAAGUAGUUGGGGAGUUAUGAUGACAUGGCAAGUCGUCCAGUGGAGCAGGCAAAUUAACUUUCUCAUUUAUUGUCGCGGUCGGCACUGGAAAGUUUCAGGCUGCGUGCAACUGGGCCAUAUUAUGAUGUUUCAUUUAUUCAGCAUUAAGUAGUAGGAUAAGGCCAGAUUUACCACAGAUCUAAAUGAAUCUAGUAUCUAGAUACAGUUGAGUGCCACGAGGUUGAGGGUAGCUUUCCAACGAGAUUUGCUUUUCGAAUUUAUUUUUUUUUUCUUUUGGUUGAAAGGGAAGUAAAUUAUCUUGCAAAAUUUUUUUUUAUAAAAUCUGGAAGAGCGUAUCUGUUGGUAGCCUCGGUGGUACCAGGUAUAACGUACUCACACGUGGUAUUCGUGCCGGAAUCCAGAGGCCGGGGUAAUCGAGCCGGGCCCACGGAUGGAGAGGGUGUGAGUAAAACCGGCUGGAAUGCCCAACACACGGUCAUUUCUGCCCGCAUCGAAUAUUCUUCUGACGAGGUAGGGGCCCAAUGAGGGCUGCUAUGCGGAGGUGGACUUGUCCCUUCCUCCCUCCUUCCCUUUUUUUUUUAGUUAAAAAAAGAUUUUUUUUUUUUCAAACAUGGUUAAGUUGAUUAUAGUGUCUUCAUUGAUUAAUAUUCCCGCAGAAUCUUGAUGCUAGUACUUGGCAGAUUUAUUUUCACUUUUCUCCUUUUUGACUCGUGCCUUAUCUACAGAGGACUAAAAAUCAAGAGUAAUCGGAAAAAAAAAGAGGUGAAAUGAUUAGAUCAAAAAACUAGAAUCAUGGCACAUUGGUUACUUGUUCUCAAGAUGGGAAAUGGGUUCGGGCCGGCCUGAAACUCAUCGGGCCAGGCCGAGUUUGGGUUGGGCGACGAGCUAGGCUCGAAAAAUUUUGGGCUGAAUUUGGGUUUAAUUAUAGAGCCCAUUUCUUUUUCAGGCCAGGUUCGAAUAUAUCACUGGCCCGGUCAGGGCCCAACUCGAGCCUGAGCCUAAAUUUAGGCCCGAAUCCAGCCUGAUUCAAUCAUUUAGGCUCAUUCUAAAAUGGGCCCGAUCAAUACUUUAAGUCUCCAGUGGAUAUAUUGGGCUAGUGAAAUAGUGGGUUUCAGAGUAUGUUUGAUUAGUUGGUUGUUUUAGUUGUUUUGUAUUAGCCUUAAUUUAACAGCCGAAUAUUGAAUUUAACUAAUUUAUUUUGAGUGUCAUUCAAAGAUUGUUUUUUUGGGGGUCUGGGCCAGCCUAGUUUUAAACCCAAACAGGUACUUCAAGCUGGCCUAAUUAGUUCAGGUGGAGCUCGGAUCGGGCUUAAACUAAAAGUUUUUCAAAUAUUUUCGAGCCUAAGUCCAGCCUGAAGCCCAAAAUAAUUUUUAGACCCGGCUUGGGUAGAGAUGUGUAAGCCCGGCCUGUUUGUAGCCCUCCUUUUUCUCUCAUGAAAGGACAACUUAAAAAAACUUAAUAACUACAUUAUCUAAAUUAGAAAGAACAAACUGCUUAGACUUUUUUGUCUUGUUAGGUAUGGUUGGAGAGUAAGGCAAGAUUUAGACUAUAUAGCAGUUAGCCAUAACUUAAUUUCAUAUGGAAAUGAAAAGAAAUACAUAUUGAAUGAGAGCAUCAAGAUCAGUCAAUACAACAUAGUUUUUUCACUGCAUGAAUAGUAUAUUUCAUAUUUUAUGUAACACAUAGAAGCCAAUUCACUGUAGUGUUAUGAUUUCCUUGAUUAACUCUUCCUAAGAUAUAGUGGCAAUGCUAAAUCACAUUGAAUUUCAUUCUCUACUUCCAAUAUUAUCUAAAUAGUAAUCAAUAAAUAAUUAAGUAGCUUUUAAACAGCUCAACAGAAAUGAAAGUUAAUUGAUUCCAUCUCUCAUAUGUUAAAUUGCUUUAGACUUUCAACAUCCAAUCUUUUUUACUUGGGCAACUAUUUUUUGCCUGCCCGUUCUCUCUAUUUGUGUAUGUGUUGAUGAAACUGAAGGAUGGUCCUAUUUUUUUCUGUCAGGUAUGUUAAUCAGUUCUCUAAAAGCCUAUACGUUGAGUAUAAGAGCAUGGGGAUCGAUGUGCAGUGUCAGGUUAGUCCUUCCAUCUUAUAAUUAUUGCUUACAUAUUUUUACUCUUCUUCAUGAGCAUUAUAAAGUUUUGGCUAAUACAACUUUUUCUUAACACCUCUAAACUAUGGUUCCCAAUGGUUGUGAGUCAAAUCUAACAUGUAUCUGCAUUAAAAUCUAAUAAGAUUACAUUGUUUACAGUCAAUAUUGUCACUGUAGUUGCCAUUAAUAUGAUCACUGUAUCUGCAUUAAAUCUUUUCUCAAACUAAAGACAAAAAAAUGUUUGGCUAUCCUAUCCAAGUAAUGUCAAUUUUGUCCUUCUACAAUUUAUAAUGCAAUGGAGCAUUGAAAACAAAGAAUGGAAAACUUGUGAAUAAGCUUGAUAGGACGCAACGUAAUGGACGUAGUAGGAAUUUAAAAUAAAGCACUGACUACAUAAUUCUUAAAAAUAUUAUUUAAGUUAUAGUUUUCACAUAUUAAGAGUUUAACCAUGAAUUUAUUUUAUUCUUAUAUCUGAUUUAAAAUUUUGGAUGCAGAUCCCCUUAUAUGUGGCAACAAAAAUGGUUAGAAUCAAGCAAUCCUCUAUGUUCAUACCAUCAUCAGAUGGCUAUGCUUCUGCUGCUGUGCGUUGGAUAGGCUAUGAGCCACAAUGCACUCCUUACUGGCCUCAUUACAUUCAGUGGUGCUUGGCUUAUUUAUUUCCAGACUUUAUCCUCAAUUCAUGGCUUCUAUAUGUGGGAAAUAGAAAGAAAAGCCAGGUAAAAAAAUUGAGAAGGGAAUGAAAUGUCUCUUGAUCUUUCUCUUUAGUAAAAACUGUAUACUAUUAGUGCUACUGGAAAUGAUUUUCCAGAAAGUACGAAGCAUAAAGACAUAUAAUUAUUAAAUAUUUAUUGUAAAAGCAACAAAUCAAGGUAUUAAGAUGGACUAUGGUUUCCUAAUGGAAGAAAAGUGUCUAUAAUUGCCAUAAAGUAUUAAAGUGUUAGAUUGUCAUGCUAGAUUUAAUUGUCCAUGACAUGCUCCUCCCUCUUGACCCUAAAGCAUAAUUAGUUCACUGUGGUUCAAAUUCAAUGCUUUGAAGAUUUAACAUCAAGUUUAAAUAUGUUACAGUGAUUUUCUUAAUUCUCAAAUGCAAUGUUCCUUGUAAUAUGCUUCAUAAUCAUUAAGAUAGGUUCGUACAUGCAUCGAAACAUAGUCUUAAGCUUAGAUGACAAUAUCUUGAUGAAACAAGGUCACCCUUAUGAUUUUUCACACAUCUAUAUUCGAAUUAUAUUCUUCUGUUCGAUUUUCUAUGAUUAUUCUCCUAUUUGUUAAUCUAGACUCGAAUGCUCAUCCCUUAUAUCAGUUCUUCUGGAGCCUUAGCUAAUAGCUCUAACACAUGCCCGCUAAUCUUUGCUUCUAGUUCCAUAUAAUUGAACUUGAGUUCAAAUGAUUUUUCUUUGAUUAUUCUCCUUUUUGUUAAUCUAGGCACUUGAAUGCUUAUCCUUCUUUAUAUUAGCUCUUCUUGGACCUUGGUUAAUAGCUCUAAUCGUAUGCCCACUAAUCUUUAUUUCUAAUUCUAUAUAAUUGAAGAUUUCAAAGACAUAUGCGAUUUCUAACGCAAAAAAAAAAAGACAUCUUUGAUAGGAGUUCUUAAAAGCUAGCCUUGUGAGCAAGCUUUUUAUAGGGUUAUAGAAAUUUUAAAAAUAAUUUAAAAACUAUAUAUUAAUUAGAUCUAAGAAUAAUAGUAAUAAUCAACAUCAGUAGGAGCAAUACUAGCCGUAGUUAUAAUAAUAGUAGUUUGAAUAUAUUCAAGCAAAAAUCUGGUGACUCUUUGGCUUUCUUUUAAGAAAAUGAAGUUAUCCGUGUUAAUUCAACAUACCUAAAAGGGUAGCUUUAUUUAUUUAAUUUUUGGGGGGAUAAAACUAUUUUAGUUUAAAAUGAUAGCUUCGAGAGAAUAAUGAUAUUCAAAAAUUGCUGUUGGAUCCUCCACGUUCACUUAAUCCGAAAUGAAAACAAGUUUAUGUAGCCAAAUGGUGAUCUAAAACCUUAAGAUCAGACACAAGAUCAAGCGAAUUCUUGCAUUGGCAUGUGCAUCAUGCAUGCUNNNNNNNNNNNNNNNNNNNNACAUGCAGGAUAAAUAUACCAAUGGUUCGACAUGCGACACCAAUUUAGCACCUUGAUUCAUCCUAACAAAACUUUCAGGUCUAUUCAUGAAAUGGUAUAUGGGUUAUUGCUUACUCUGGUCACAAUAAACGUUAGAGAAUAACCUGGUUUUCCUCAAGAACAACAAUUAUAUCACGAAAUUAUAUAGUCCAGUUGCAUUGGUCUUAAACCAAUAGUAAAUUCUAGGUGGUCAAUCUAAACCAUUCACUUCCAAGAAGUACCUUUGCCAUUUCACUUCUCCAACUUCUGAUUGAUGUCCACUUGGAAACCAGCUCCUGAUCUUAACGAAGAAUUAAUGACUAUUUAUAAGUGACAAAAUAUUGAUGUGAUGUCCUUUCCUUGAAUGUUAUAACAUAAAGCACCAUAUUUAGGCGUGCAAAAGAGUUUUGAAGCUUAUGCAAACAAAUGAUUAACUACUAAGCAGUAUGUGUCCUGAAUCAUAUACUCAAAACGGAUGUCUUAAACUUUUUUUUUCUUUUCUUUUUCUUUUGCGUGUGUAUGGGUUCACGAAGAAAAUGGCGAGGGUUUUCUUUCAUGAUGGAAAUGCUGAUUUUGCCCGUUCCUCACUUAAAAAAUAUAUAUAUUUUAAAAAGAAAUUGUUCGAAGCUAGCAUAUGUAGAGAUGCAAAUGAGCCAAGCAGAUCAUGAGAUUCUUACAAAUAUCAAAGUCUCUGCCAAAUUCUAUCGGUUCUAUUCGGCCGAGAAACAGUUGAGUAGAUGGAUAUAUAACUUCAAACAUAAUGUGAAUCUGGUCAUCUUCUAGUACUCCAUGAAAAAAGUGAGGAGAGAGUUGUUUGCAAGAUGAAAAGGUUGGUUCCGCUGUUAAUGAUCAUUAGUAAAUAUUUCCCUUUACAAGUCAGAGAGAGAGAGAGAAGGUUGCCAGCUUCAGUCCUAUUACAAAAAAAUUGCUCUUCAAAACUGGCAUUUUUUUUUUCUAAUGCUUUUGAAAGAAUGGAAAGGCCUAUUUUCCUCACAAGCAUGUACCCACCUCUCCUCUCCAUCACCACCCUGGUCAAACAGAGCCACUGCUCAUAAAACCAGGGCUUAUUACAAUCAAGGUUAAAGCAAGAGCUACAUCUUGUGAAACCGAGCAAAAUCCAUCCCUUUUCUAAAGUAACAAGAGAUGUACCAUCCAAACCAAAGUUCCAUAGCAAGCUGAUAUUACAAUUAGUACAUGAAAUUGGUGCUUUAUGUCAUAACUUCAUCAACACCAAUCCUAAAAACCAUAUUGUUCCCCUCAUGCAAUGGACCAGCAAGAUUACAGAUCUACAUUUGCAAAUAAUUAUGGAAGAAAUGAAAUGCAAUACAAUCAAUUGUUUUAUUAAAAUACAUAAUCGGCAUUUAUAUUUAUGCAGGUUCCUCAAAUCAUAUCAUCUUACAAACCCAUCAGCAAUGUAACUAGGAGAGUUAGUCAAACAGACAUUCUCAGUCGCAGAUCACAUCAAUUUGUUAGUUCCAACAGAGGAGCAAAGCCUACACUGUUACGUAGGUGCGACAAGGGCUUGUUAUGGCUUGCGCCAUUGCCGUGGAGCGAAGCUUUCUUUCUCUAAUGGCCGGGUCUUCUAACAGCAGCACCUUGUCCCUAUCCUGAACCCCCACCAUAUGAAGGCGAUCACCAUCCUCUCUCUCCUUUCCUCUAAAUAGGAGUCUCUGCUCUCUUGGCUCCAAGCCCGUUACCAGAGAUAAUACCACCUUCAACUCUCCUGCAUCGCAUAAUAAAACCAAAUAAUUAAUGUUCCAUUAAUCUUGCACUUGAAAAAGGCAAGAUUAAUCUUGUAGCCCCUACUAUAAAUACUAACUCUCCACCUACCAAAAGUAGAAGUUGCUAAGAUGGAGAUGUCAUGCCACCAUGAACCGGUUGUGAUCCUGAGUUGAAUCACUUCUUCAUCCUCUUCUCCUCCACUCGCUCUCUUCUGGACCAGCAUGCCUCCAGGCCUCAGCUCCCACCCGAUGUCCCCCCGGCCGCAGCCACCACCACCUCCUCCUCCACAACUAAGCUUGGACUUGCUCUUGAAAAGCCUCCUUGAUCUUAACUUAAUCAUCUCUCGAUAUCUCUCUAGACAAGUCCCUCCUGCCUAUCUCCUCAGUUGGUAGGAAGAAGAAAAGAGAGACAUGAAGUGUAUUUAUAAUGGUUGGGACUUGGGGAGAGGCCAUGGAACUAGAGACAGGUGUGCAUGAUGCUCGUAAGAAUAAAGACAAAGGCUAACAUGGGAGGGGCCUGUUUAAGCCCGAGAUUACGGAGGCUGGGGAGCAGCACAUGGGUUGGCAACCACGCGUUGCAUGAAUAACGGGCCAACACAGUCAUACCAGGCGGCGGAUUACAUGUUGAUCGAGAAAUGUUCUUAUUUUUUUACGGGUAGAGGUUGGUGGAGAGCAUGGGAUGGAUGCCAUGGAAAUGGUGAAGAGGUUGAGAGGAGAAUAUACGUGGGAACACAGUUGUGUUAAAAUAUUUGUAGAAGAGAAAGAGAGAGAGAGAGAGAGAGAGAGAGAGAAGAAAGUAAUUUUAUUUUUUUCUAAUAUAUUAGGUACAUCGCAAUAGUUAUAUAUACUCGUAUACAGGCUACAUAUAAGAAAAAGAAUGUAGACUGAUAUAACAUCAGACGAAUAAAAGAAAAUAAUACUCACCGAUACAAGUUGUUAUGUGAUUCCUAAAAUCGCUCUAACAAGAUUAUGCUAAUAAAGAAAAAUAAUGCUGAUCGAUAAAGGAUUACGCUAAUAAAGAAAAAUAAUAUGGGCUGAUAUAGGUUGAUAUAUGAUUUCUAAAAUUAUUCUAACAUCAUUUCUCAAACUCAAGAUGAUAUUAUCAGUGCCAACUUGAGUUUGUAAACUAGAUCACGAAUGUACCUAAAAACUGGAGUACUGGAUCAAGAGUUGAAGCAUCAGCUCAGAAGUUGAUGUAGCAGAUUAGAAAUUGACGUAACAAUUUAGAAGCCGAUAUGGUAGACUGAUGUGUCUGACUGACGUGAUAGACUGACAUGUUCGUUGAUAUGGCUGAUUGAUUUGUCUGAUGAUGUAAUAGCGAGAAGACAGAAGAUUACAGUUGCAGCGAGGACAUAACUCAAAGAGAAGGCAACCAAAUAUCAACGAUCCUUAUAGACGGAGGCACCAUGCAGGAGGACUAAUUGGCUAAUUGAUUUGUUUGAUGAUGCGGCAAUGAGUAAACACAUAAAAGAUAACAAUUGCAGUGAGGACAGAGCUCAGAGAGAAGGCAGCCGAAGGUCGAUGAUCCUCGUAGAUGGAGGCACCAUGGAAGAGGAGCAAUUGGCUUUAAAUUGGAUGUCGAAGGAGCUGAAGGCAGCAAUAAAACCAAAGAUGGAGAGAACGGGGCCAAGCGACGAUGAGGAAAGACGACCGAAGAUCUGAAGCUGAGAAAAAAAAUAACGGAGAGGAGCUGUGGAUUCAUUAAAAAUAAAUGAUCUUCAUAUAUUAAUCUACCAAAAAUAGAGGAUAUGCAGAUCUACUAAUGAGAUUAAUAUUGAUUCAUUAGAAAAUAGAUAAUCUGGGGAGAAACAGAAGAUCUGCGAAUCCACCAAAAAAUAGAAAAUUUUCGGAUAUUGAUUCACCGGAGAACGGAGAUCGAUAGAUCAAUGAUAGGGGUCUAUAAAGUUGUUAUGUGAUUUCUAAAAUUAUUCUAACAUUUUAGGGGCAUGGAGAUCAUAGUUUGGUAUGGUUUUGUUGUGCGCUGUCAUGCAUGCAAUAGAUAUGGGAUAAUCUUUCAUCCAUGUGAAGGAGAUGUAGCUCGUGUCCUUUAGCUCUUUGGUGGUUAGAUAUCAAGAUCCAGGGUGACAAUUGGAUAAAAGUAUCGACAAAUCUAUAUCAAAAUCCAAAUGAUAUUAUGUGCUCAUAUCUGGAUUGUCCAUGAUGAAAGAUUUCAGAUAUAUGGAUUCAAUAUUAAAUUAGAUUUGGUUUGUCCCUCCAUCCAUGAUAAGAUUAAAUAAACCUGAAAAUAUGGACAGCCAUGAGCAUAUGUAUGACAAUGAAAUGCUCGCAUCUCUAGUUACAAUCUACCUAGUUACCAUUAAAAAUCCCCAUCACAUACAUGGUUAGGUAUCCUAUCAAGCGAGUAGGCGCAUCGAAAUGUUUCAUGGAGACGAGAUUAGCAAGGAGAAUUUUUAAUGUUUUUUGUUUUUCAUAUCAUUUCUCCAAGUAGAUUGUUCCAUUUGGAUAAGCUUAGUUAUUGAUAGGAUCCCAUCUUUUUAGGAAGCAAAGCUUUUUGGUACAAAUCUAAGCUUUAUUUGCUACGUGUUAAGUUGCAUAUCACAUAAUUUCAGAACUUGAGAAAUAUCAUGUCCCAAUACCAUGAUCCAAGGUUUCAAUAUUCUUGAUAUGACUGAAUAACAAGAAAACAACUAGAACUGUUUAUAGCAUUAUAAGCGGAAAUAAUGAUCGUUAUUUGUCCCAAGUCAGAUUUAGAUGAAAUUUUCUUGGGAACACAAAUAUUAUAUAUAUAUAUAAUUAAAAUAACAUCAUCAUCGAAUCCUGGUUCAGAUGGGUUGGGCGGGGGGGUUCGAAUUCAAAGGCCACCUCCCCUUGCUCUAGUAUCCUGGUUUUAUGAGCCAUGCGUUAGUCUACCCAAGGAUAUUCUAAACUUCAACCUGAGUGAGAUUUCUUGGGUUUUAAGGUAGCGAGAUUGAUAAUAGCUCUCCUAGUCUAAAUUAAAGAAAAAUGUUAAUUAGCAUAAUUUAUUUUCUGCACUUGGUCAAGGGGAAAUCGAUUUCAUAUUUAAUGUGACACUAUUAAUUCAUCUUUCUAAACUAAAAUGAAGACUUCGAUUUCAGAAAUUACUAUUUCAUCAAGCAGGAAAAAUGUCAAAUGAUGGCUAUUACAACUACUAUACGCACUGCAGCAGCCAUUAUAACAAAAUUAUUCCCUAAAUAAUGGUUGUUAUUGAAAUUCUCAGCCAUUAUCUGUCAUAGGAGGGUGAUGCAUCAGAUUUGUGAUUUUUUUUUUCAUGAGAUUUCUCCGUCUCAUUUUGAUGAUAAUCGUUAAAAUCAGGCAGGAUUUUUCUUUAAUGGGUAAGCCCAACAUAUGAAAUUUUGUAAUAAUUGGGUUAAAGAGUCAACACUUCUGCUCUGAUACCAUGUUGAAAUCACCACUUAUCCUAAAAACUUAAACUUAUAGAAUGAGAUAGAUUUAUUUAUAUAUUUUAUAUUUUCUUACAAUAAUUUAGCCGAUCAGGCUAAUACAACAAUGCUUUAAACUCCAAUGCACCAUCUCAGCCAAUUUGAACAAAAUGAGAUGCCAUCUCAAUGGUGCCUAUGCCAAUAGUUUAUUUUAUCUAAGUCCAAUCCUAAGUAAAGCUUAGCGUCCAGAAUCUAGAAACAUGCACAAGAAAAGAUAUAUGAGAAGGCGAGAUCACAUGAACUAAGAGAAGAAACUUCUUGUUUUCUUUUUCCUUUUUUUUCCCAUUAUUUCUCAUCUUGCUUCUGCCUGUGCUACAUUUCAUUUAUCAAUGAAUAUUUCGGUAGUUUUCCACCGUUCAGCAAGGAAAAAAAAUAUAGAAUUUUUUUUUCUUCUGAUACUAAGGGAGGCAGAAGCCACCCAAAACUUUACUAAGGAAGUGGUAUUUACAGAGAAUGUGACUUACAGGAAAGAAGUAUAGGGCCUGUCAAAACAGAACCAUGGAUAUCAGCAGUAAUCAACAAAACCUAAAAGAGAUAAGAAGAUAUCAAUCUAUAACUGUGCAGGAGUUAAAGGAUUGAGGGGAAGCAUUACUUUCCACAACCCUUGAGAGAACUAACAUGGGAGGAGCCCUUCUUUCUUUCUUUCUUUCUUUCUUUCUUCUUCUUCUUCUUUUGCUAAAACGGAAGUAUCAUACAUAACGUGUAUGGAUACAGCCAAAAAAGUCAAAAAACAGUACGUCACAAAGAGCACUAGGCAACUCCGCCUCUCCCACCAUAAGUGUUCAUCUGAAUGGUUGGCGACAAAGAAAGCAACUCAAUCAGCAGCCCCAUUUGCCUUCCUAAACACAUGCUUCGCCUGGAAGACCAUCCCAUCCGGCAACAUGACCCAGAUGUUCAUCAACAGAAGGUGGUGGUCGCCAACCCCUCCUAAAUCCUGCCCAAUCCAUCCAAUGACCAUCGCCGAGCCGCCCUCUUCUUUAAGUGUAGUUUGUGGGGCUUGGAAGCAGCGCAUGGGGGCUGGCAGCACGCUUUGUAUGAAUAAUGGGCCAACGAAAUCAUUGCAGCAGCCGGCUUAGGAUUGAUUUAAAUCAAAAUAUUAUUCUUAAAGUGCAGAGGUUGGUGGACACCAUGGGAUGAGCACCUUAGAAGUGGUGUGGAUGUUUUGAGGAGAAUAUAUGUGGGAACAUGGAGUUAGUUGAUAGGUUGGCGAGCCAAUCUUUAUAUGACAUCUGAGUAAAUUAUCCUGCAAUUGGGGAGCAUCAUGUGGUAUCUUCCAUGGGAGGGAGAUGAGUCCAGCUUCAUUGUGCUGGUAUUAUUUAAUGAGCUAGAUUUUGGACAGACAUCCAAUAUGCGUCCACAUAUGGGAUCAUAUCUAGAUUCUUAAGAAUGAUAGGAUGUAGAUCUGAAUGCAUAUAUAGCAAGAAUAAUUGGAUUUAAUACCAGAGGAGAUUAGUUUAACUCAACAAAGUUAAUUGCCAAACUUAAACUCAUCACUGUUAAUGUAAUUCACCUAGUAUGCUCUAUAUUAUGUCCUCAAUUGUAAGGAACAUCAUUAAGAAUAUACAUUACCUGUUGAUAUGUCAGCCGUUUAAAAUGAAAAAAAAAAAAAUCUUUCCUAUGAAUCCUUUAUGCUGAAUAGCAUCAUCAUCUGUAUUGAUGGAUAGUUUCGAAGAUGAAUGCCUGAAUUCUUCCAUGCAUGCACCCGUUUGUUCCAUUUCCACAUUAAUAACCUCGAAGGCUCCUUGGCUCGCAUGUUUGAUGACAAAUGAUAAAGAUCACAUCAUAUAAAUAUUAUCUUUUUUCAUGAUGAUUAUUGUUUAAUAGGUGCUUCUUGCAGUAAAUCAAUAGUUAUGCACUAACGAUCCAUUUUAGAUUUAAUUUCAAGAAUAGAGAUGCAACCUAUGAAAAUCUAAUGUAACAAUGUUGGUAUUGGAGGGUCUUAACAUGAGACAUGGUAUGGUCAUAUGGGUGUGAAGGAGGAAAGAUAUGAUAGCAUCCGCCAUGUUUGAUUCUAGAGGAAUUGCUGAAGACAAGACCAAAGCAAGACCGACUUGCUUUGGAUUGGACCCCUAAGACAACUCGGCAGAUAUAAGAAGCCUGUUACACCCUUCAUAGAAAUUUGCUAACAAAAUAAAACUUAUACACAACGAAGAAUUAAGAAAAUAGUUUAGCAUUAGUUACGCAAAUCAUAAGUAUUCUGAUGUUUUUUUCUAUAACAUAGUUUAGCCUUUGUUUUGUAUCAUUAUUUCAACAUGUGGUUGUCGCCGUUCCUUCUUAGCAGCUGCAGCAACAAUAUUAUUAUCAAUUAGAUCAUACUAAAAACUAAUUUUUCUUUGUAUCAGAUUCAAAUAAUCUUCUUUGUUCAGUUUAAUGGCUGAAGAUCUUUUUGCCUGCCUUCCUCCUUUCUUCACCCCAAAUCUUCCUAUGCCUUUUCUAGGUGUUGGUUGGGCUCCAUCUCUCUUUACCCAGCUUUUUUUUGUGUCCUCAUAGCGUAGGAGCAAUAAGCCUUAUUCCUGAUCCUGAAUCAAGGUAAGGAGGUUUUCUAAUUAGUUGGAAUUAGCUCAGAUUAUUGGUAUCUUUUCUCUAGUCUAUUAACUUGGUGAGUCUGAAUCCUAUUGGUUUGUACUAUGAAAUCUAUACAUAUUUUCUCAAAAAACCACCCAACAAGACUAGCAAGUACAAUCCUUAUCACUAUUCCAUUUGAAAGAAUAAUGGCAUAUUAAUCCAACCUAUCAUUAUUCUUUCCCCUAAAUGUGGGAUCUUUUUAGAAAUUUCUCAUUAUAUUAUUUAAAAAAAAACAUUUAGAACAUAUAUGAAAGAAACUAAAUUUUGAUCAUAAAAUAGCGAUUUGUGGAGACACUUAUAGAAUCUAGAUCGGUCAUACACACGAUACAAAAUUUUCAACAAUGUUACCUUGGACCGCUCAUCCGAAGUUUGGCGAUCAGCCCUAAAUGUUUAAUUAAUUAUCUUUUAUAUAGCAAAUUUGGUUCAACAAGACCCAAGAUUCUUUAAUUAUUUUGUCCAAGGUUAGCAGAUGAACCUCCUUCAUCAAUACCUCUUAAUCCAACCCUACCCUAUUCUAUACAAUCUGAUCUACCUUAGACCUAAAUCUAACCUGGUCAACAUUCUAGCUUCUGGACUAGAUUCUGACCUAGUUGUCCUUUGGAUACGUAAUCUGACAAAUAUACCCACUACUCAUUAAACCAAGUUAAAAAAUACCCAUAGCACUCUUGGACAUUCUAGCAGACAGACCACGUGAUGGAAAUCAACACAUAUAAGAUGGUCCCUCCAUCAACUUGUGUAUUAAUUAUUAAAUGAGGUUAGAUAAUUAGAUCGGACCAUGGUUUGUUUUAUUAAGAAACUAAAUAGAAAACAAAUAUUUUGGUCUAAGCAAAAUACUGCACAUUCCUCAUUUCUGACUGUUGAUUCCACUAAUCACAAGUUUCCAAGUUUAAAUGGAUAUUUUAAAGUAUUUCUAAUAACAUCUAUGGAUGGCAAUUUGGCUGGAUCGGCUUAGAUACAUAAUUGAUCAAAAAUCUAUCAAUUGAAACCUGAUCUAUUUCUUAAAUGAGUCAAAAAUCAAAAUUCAAAUCUGAUUAUUUCAUUAAAUAGAUAAUCUAGCUCAAUCUCUAAUAGAUUGAAAUAAGUUAAAUGAAUUAAAUGAUUAAACAUUGCUACUCUUAAUAACUUCCUUAUCCUCUAUGACAGGAUGCUAUUUUCAGUUUCUUAGAUGGGUGAUGCCCACUUAGGCACAAUGCAUAUUUAUUGUCUAAUUUGGUUUAUCGUUUAAUUUGGUCCUGCCCCACACGCACGCAUGCGUGCACACACGAGCGCGCAAGCAUGCGUGCGCAACUUGCACAGUGCACAAACUGAUAAUAAUUGGAUUGACCAUUCACCAAGAAGCUAACUUGAUCUCAGCUCUAGAUAAGGUGCACUAAUUCGUCACAAAUCUUAAAACGCAGAUGGACAUCUGUAGCACCAUGUCCAUGCUUCUUCUUCUUUUAUUUUUUCCCUUUCUUUUUUUUUUGUUGAAAACGGCAAUUUUUCUUCUUUACCCUCACCGUGUUCCCCAGUAAACACGCCAUCCACAACGAAUUCCCAAGUAAACACGCCAUCCACAUCGAACGGAUCGACGAGGUCUCAACACAAGAAUCCAAUCAUGGACGUCAUCCAAAUAAAUCGUCCAUGCGUGCUCCGCCGGACCACCAGAUCGUAUUCUCCCUCUCUGGUAGUCCGAGAUAAGGACUCGGGAGACCGCCGGAGAAGAGAGGAGUCCUCUCCGCAGCGUUCGCAUCUCUCUCACGCCCUCCAACCACCUCUAUCAUUCCCAAAAUACCCCUCCUCCCAGCUCCUCUCCUCCGUCGCCACCAUGACCCUUCCCGAAAAGCCCCUCCUCAAACCUUUCCUCCUCCUCCUCUCCCUCUCCCUCCUCCUCCUCCUCACCCCUUCCUUCCGCCGUUCCUCCUCGCCCUCCGCCGCAUCCGACGCCGCCGGCGGGGCUGCCACCCCGCUCCUCCGCAUCCGCCCGGGCUACAAUUCCUACGACGACUACAUCAAGCACCAGCUAAACAAGACCCUCAACCCCCGUCUCCGCCGCGUCUGGGCCACCCGCGACUGGGACCGCAAAGUCCUCGUCUUCGCCCGCUUCUUCUCCGACAUGAAAUCCCGGGGCCUCCUCUCGAACAACUCCCGCGCGCUCUGCAUCGGCGCCCGCCUUGGCCAGGAGGUCGCCGCCCUCCGCAGCGUCGGCGUCGACGACGCCGUCGGCGUGGACCUCGUCCCCUCCCCACCCCUCGUCGUCGCCGGCGACUUCCACGCCCAGCCCUUCCCCGACUCCUCCUUCGACUUCGAGUUCUCCAACGUCUUCGACCACGCCCUCUACCCCGACCGCUUCGUCGCCGAGAUCGAGCGCACCCUCCGCCCCGGCGGCGUCGCCGUCCUCCACGUCGCCCUCCACCGCCGCGGCGAUAAGUACUCGGCCAACGACCUCUUCGGCGUCGACGGCGUCCUCAGCCUCUUCAAACACUCCGACCUAGUCCAUGUCUCCAACGUUGACGGCUUCGGCCUCGACACCGAGGUCGUCCUCCGGAAAAAAAAGCGUCCAAGCCAACAAUAAUCCUUCCCCCCUCUCUCCAUCCCCCGCCGUGGGCGGCGGCGGCCGCGGCCGCGGUGGUGGUGGUUAUUUUUCUUUUUAUUCAUUCUUGUUGUAUACUUUGGAAUCAUUCUUCACCAUCAUGGAAAAAAAAAAUACGGAAUUCUUUUUCGAUGGUCUCGAGGCAGAUUCCUUAUCUUUAUGCGCCGGCUCCGGCUUUUCCUUAUUCUCAGACUUUAUUUUUCGGGCAAUAUUACUAUUAUUGUAGCUUAGACUUGAGAUGCGACAUAUGGGGUGGUGGUUGGAAGAGGAAAUAGAACAGCUGGCCCGGAUCUUUUAUCUGGGCGGUUGGUGGACACGGGUAACGGUGCGUGCAUGUCUGCCACGUGUACUUUUGCCUUUUAGCUUGGUCAUGUCGCGCGUAGAACGGUUGGCGGUACAGCGGCGCGACAUUACGAACUUCGACGAGCUGGAAAUGCACUGGAAGCGGCUCGUUAGUACUGCCGCUAAUCAUGGCUGUAUAGACGGCAACUUGGACUUCAAUGCAGGGUGUGAAGUGGAGUUCAAUGUCCAGGCCAUUGAAAUUGCUCGUAGAAGAUGUGAGAUAUGGCAUAUGGGAGCCAUUGGAUCUUCUUGGGAAUAAAAUUGGGAUUACAAUAUGCUAUGAUAUGAAGUGCGCCCAUUUAUGUACACUAAGCUUGCACACACAAACAUUGUGCAAGCGCUGAGGAAGCCAUUUGGCUAUCUUCCUGUAUGCUUGCUUGCUGUUACAUGACAAUUAUGCUUCAUGGGAGGCAAAAUGGAUCAUCCUACUCCAGCAUGGAGCCACAUAAUUUCGAUCAGACCUCAGAACCAAGCAGGCCAGACCUUGGUUUCGCUAAAAGCUAGGCCGAUCUCGGUUCCUGCCGAAGACCGAGCCGACCUUGGCCCGAGACCGAUAUGAUCUCGGCUUUGUCAACCCUGAUCCCGUAGAUCCCCCGAACAAAAGGAAUGGUUACUCCCUAAGACCCUAUAUAGCCUAUCUCAACGGCUCUAAUCGGGCUGCUCAGGCGGCCGAGCGGCUAGAUCAUGUUACGUGGCAGAUCCAGAAGCUUCCUUAGCAAAUCUUCCUGAAUUGCGGUGUUAAAGGCCGAUCAUCAUGAUGGCCAUCUCGGGGGCACAGAAAUGAUGAUUGGCCCCUCGCGUACCAUCAGGUAACACUUUGAGAGGAAGCGUGUGUGCACGCAACGCAUUGAAGAGCUCCCUCAACUAUUUCCGCUUGGAAUGACGUAACGGAUUCUCAGAACAAAUCUGGAAAGAUAUCUCUCGCAUCCUCCUCCUGUGGGAUUGAUCUUCAUGAUUCAUGCUGCCUCCAGCUAAUGGCAAACUGAUCACGAAUCGGUCCGAGACUUUAGGUAACGGCCAAAACCCUCACCCUAUAAAAAAGAAGUAGAGAAAAGCUCUCGAGAAUUGUGAAAAACACUCAGAAACCUCUCCAAAAACUAUGCUAACUUAGCCAUCAGAGGGCCUUCGUCGGAAUAUCUGGCCAAGGCUUUGUGUAGGUAUCCCGGAGCGCAGGAGGUGGGCUCCCUUUCUCCAUCUCAGCCGGCGUCUUCUCGGCUUCCCCUCCGGCGUGGUAACCCUCAGGCCAAAUUUCAACCACAACAACGCUGAUUGGGUUGCUGCUUCCUUUGCGGCUCACCGCUCCAGAGGUUUUAUUUGGGCGAACCAUGUUUCUAUGCAUGAGCUUUUGUGUGCUCUUCUAUUUUAUAAUUUGUUGGCCAUAUUUACAUCCGUCGUGUGUGAGCUGCCGUUAUAUCCAAAAAAAAAAAAAAAAAAAGUCCGUACCUCUAGGGUAGGCUAUAUAACUGCCUCCUCAGCAAUGGUACUACACUCAGAUGCAAGUUAAUGAUCUUUAUUUAUUAUAAUACAUGAUGUUUCAAAUUAAAAGUUUGUUUGGAGAAUCUAGUAGGAUUGGCUUUUCUGGAUUCAGCCCAUCUGGCCAUGUGGCCUGUAUCGACCACAACCCCAAGCCAAUUGGUGGAUUGUGACCUUUUGGACUUCAAGAGGUAAAACUUGCCUGCUGACCCAUCCCAUUGCUUAUUUACUGGGUAUUUAGUGAUUGGAGCAUUGGAUGCCUUGCCCCAAGGAAAUUCACAAGUCAUUAAGCAAUGCAGGUCAGUCUGUUCAUUCUCUGUUACCUUGAAUUCUUGCAGAUUUUUUAAAAAAAUCUAUAUAUCACAUUAGCUUAUCACUUUAUUUUAAAAAAGUGAAGCGCAAGAGAUAAGCAUAUUCGCAAGUAAAACAACACAUAAUACUCAUUUCCAUAUGGUUUUAGACACUGUUUGUUGUAAAGAUGACGGAUGUGCUUAGCUAACUAGAUUUGACAUCUUAUGAUUUUAUAACUCCUCUGAGCACAUGUAAUGGCUAAACCAAUAAUUACUUACCCAGAUGGAUUGCAUCAUAUGAUCUAUGUUUAAAUUGUGAUACCAUUGGUUUCUAUGAGGAAGUUGGACGCAAGUCAACACUUCACUGCAUUUUAGCAUCUUAGAAUUUUCUGUAACUUUAGAUCAUAAGGUUUAAAUAUGCUUGUUUUAUCUUGAUAUGACAUGCCAAAUGAAAUUUACUUCAUGCUCAUUACUCAAAGUUUGGGUUCUAAGACUCGACCUCAAAAUUAAGAAGUACAUGUACAUAGCCAUGUGUUUUGAGUCCCCUUUUCAAAGAAUCUGGCAGCUAGCUAUAGCAUAGGACAGAAUUUAAGUACUUGCAUCAGGUAGCUGCACUCGCAAUACUCUGGUAGCUGGCUCAUGCAUCAUAACAUCAGUCAUUUCCUUGAAAGGUUGGGAGGAAAAAGAAACAAGAAGAAUGGAUGGAACCUCUUCAUCAAUGAACUGUUUUCUAUUACUGGAGUUGUCCAAGAAGUGGGCAGCUUGAAGAAACAUGACACCAUCUUCUUGCUUUCAUAUUGAAGAGUGCACUCGACAAUGGAUGAAUCGAUGCGAAGGGACCCUCUGCUUAGAGGAUUAAGUGCAAGCAAUUUAUGCUACCAAUUGUGCAAGCAAGCAAACUAUCUAGGAGGAUGAGGGGAGGGGAACUCUUGGUGUAAAUGUUGAAGACAGUAGUUGCUGUUUAGGACAGAGGUACAAACAUAGUGUAGUUCAGCUGGAUGGAAGUCAUUUCAGAUCUCUUGGUUGCAAUCUUCAAGAUAAGAAGAGAAGCAAAUGGUUAAGUGGCAAUUGCAAUUCUUCUGUAUGAUUGGUAACAUAAUGAAGCUGCAUUGACAUUUGGAAACAACAGGGUUAUCUGUGUUUAUAUGAUAACUCCAGGCAGCUACUAUGGGAGGACUCAUAAACUGAUGUAAUUACCCUUAUCAUUGUAUGUCUUAUACCAGUAUCUGUUUUCAAAUCUAGAAUGCUUAAGACUCAUUUGUACACAUCUGAUUUAACUUGGAUUCUUUCAUUGUCUGAGAAGUUUAAAAUACCAUUAUCUAUUCAUUAAUAUCGAAAGAGGAAUAUUUCAAAAUUGGUUUCUAACAACAAAAAAGUGGAUUUAUGAGCUAUCCAAGCAAUAUUUGGUGACUUUAAAACCUCAAACAAUAUUUGGUUAAGCCAAGAAUAAUGAUAUUGCAACCAAUGCAGUUGUUAGUUGGAGCUUUGAAUGAAAGUGCAUCUUUUGCCUUUUUUUUUGGUUGCCAUUACUUCAGUUAUGGCCCAAUAUAACUAUUUUUGUUGCUAAUGACUGGGUACAGAGAAAGGCAUCUCGAUUUUUCUCUUCCUGUUUGUAUAUUACAUUUCAUUAUAGUUUAACAGCUCCAACAGGCCAUACAACAAAAUAGUUUUUAAAAUGAUCCACAAGAAGGUGAAACCUAAUUAACUAGUUGUACUUAUUUCUCCUUUAUUCUUAUGUUGAUCAAGAAAGAUCCUUACUCCUCUUUCCUCCUUACAAAUCGACCCUGCACAAAACUUUUAGCUGAUAAGUAGAUUUCAUUUUACAAAGAAAGAAAUUAAAACAAAAGAUCUUUUUCCAUCGCAUCAUAACAUUGAACAACCAGUAAUAUGCAUGAAAGGUUGAAAUUGAACUUCAUGACAUGUCUGCAGAAGGGUCUAAUAUUUCUUGGACAUGGCAAAAUCUUUGAAACAACAAAAUAAGAUCAAACUUUACCAUGAGAAUUUACCAUGCAAUAAAAGACAUUUAGUUACAUUAAUAUCAUAAUAUUAGUAAUGAUAGAUGCUGCAAAUUUAAAGUUUGUUCUGCUCCAAUUUCACCAAAAUGACUAAAAUAUAUACCAAUAAUACUCUUAGGCAUAAUGCUCCCUAAUAAUGAGAGGAUAACAGUUGCUGUCAAUGAAAAGGAAGAAGUGGUGAAACUCAAAAAUAGCUGAAGCAUUGUCUUUUUCUAGGGACUGCAGUGUGGGCAUGUGAUAGCUUCCAGGUUAAAGUUUUCGAGCUAUGUUGCCUUUUAUAAAGUAUGUAGUUAUUGCAAAAAUCCAAGUGGCUGACAAUUGAGAUGAGGAAUCUUGCAGGAAUUGCCAACAAUGCAUAACUCAAUUGAUUGGCACCCCUCUAAAGGUUUCCUUAGUGGAGCUCCAGGCUUCAAAUUUGAACCCUGGUUGUGUUCUAUUACCACCAUAGAAGAAGAAGAAGAAGAAGAAGAAGAAGAAGAGAAAGUUUGUGGGGUAUUGGCAUAAAGCAGCCAUAGGCUCAACCUCAAAAGCCAGGUUGCAUCUUAUUACAGGUGUAUAUAUAUUUUAUCAAAAGAUAUAGAAUGGCUAGCGCACCAAACACAAUAAUAUGAAAGCAUGCUACCAAUGAAGCAAAGCACAGUGGAAACAACAUUUAGCAUCUAGUUUGGAAGCAAGAUAGGCAAUUUGGGGAUAAGUUAUGGUUAUCCUCAUGGGUAUCAUAAAUUCCAGGAUAAGGUGGGAUAAGUCAUUAUUUUUGUUUGGAUAAACAUUUUUACCCCAAUGUCGUGAUUAUAUUAUACCAUAUUGCAAAUAACAUAAAAAUGAUUACUGUUGGGUUAAAAAACAAAAAUAUCCUUAUAUUUAUGGUCACUCCUUGCUAAUACAUAGUUAUUUGGUCAUUUCACAAAUGUAGGUGAGAUAAAAGGUAGGGAUACGACCAAAAUGUCAAGGAUGAGAAAUUAAUGAUCUUUCUUCAGCUUGUUUGGUACCACAGCUCAUGAUACAUGUCAUAUAAAAUCUUAUAGCAAUUGAUUUUUUUGGGGAGUACUUUAUAUCAAUUGCAUUUUGACAUGUAAUCUUAAUUGUAAGAAAUUUCACUCCACUCAAUAUUGUCUUGGUACAUCCCUUUGAAUCAAACUUCUCUGUUUGCAAACUUUUAGAUAUUCAUUUAAAUAAUUUAUGUUAUGUUCAUGGUUUUCUCAAAGUCCUGUUUACAUAUAAAAUUUUACAAUAAUCAUAAUAAUCAAUGCUUGUCUUUAUGUUAUUCAAAAAUACCAAUUAAUCUAAUUGGAGAUCCAAAUUUAGAGAAACACAAAGUAAACAAAAUGCUGAAAAGGAUAUAAACAACCUUCCACUUUCUGUGGCCCUCUUUUUUCCCUUCUAUUUUGAGGAAAAAGGAUGGAACUCUAUCUACUUCAUUAAGAUAAUGAAGAAGUGCAGAGAGGAUUGCAAAAAAGAAGGGGAGGAGAGAAGGUCAAAGAGCAGGGUGGAGAUAGAUAGUACAAGCAAGAAGACACAAGAGUAGAAUUUUGAGUUGAUAUCUUCUGUGGCAGAAGAAUAGACCAGAUCUUGAAUAGAUUAAAGAAUGACCAUAAAUUCCUUGGUAUUGCUAACUUGCUUCAGGAAUACUUUUCUAUUUUCUUUUCCUUACUCUUCUUUCUUUUUGGGAACAUGGAUAACUUAAAACUACAUGAGUAUAAACACAUCCACAGUGGCCAUGAGAAAGGAUGUCAUGAGUAUUGUUCUCUGCAUCCAAAUGGCCCCAGCAAAGUGCAGCAACUAGUGGACUACUUGGUCCCAUGCUGUCUUGGAUUAUGAGAGCUCUUCUGUUUUCCUUAUUUUGGUCCAGAGAUCAUUUAACAUAUUUAGUUGGAUUGUAGUUUGUAAUGGUGACAGUUCUCCAAAUACCUAUCAAAACAGCAAUGGAGCACCAGAUGAUUAAUGUUUCCAAUGGGGGUAGGGACAGUAGGGCACCUCAAGCGCACCAACCAAUCCUUCUCAACAACUUCGCCACUAUGAAAAUUGUUUUCCAUGUUGUAAGCAGACAAAUGUCAAGGCAAUAUGAUGUUGGCCAUGGAUAUCUUGCACUAUGACAAUGCUUGUAGAAUUAUUGGAUAAAAUGGAUUUCAUUGAUGGUCAACAUAGAUUAGAAAUAAUUUUGUAAUUCAAAGAGGCAAGUCAGUGUGCAAAAUCCUAUUGUGUGUGUGUGUGUUUGUGAGAGAGAGAGAGAGAGAGAGAGAGAGAGAGAGAGAGGAGGAGGGGGGAAGGGGGGGAGAGAGAGAGAGAGANNNNNNNNNNNNNNNNNNNNGGGGGGCGAGAGAGAGAGAGAGAAGAUAAUUGUGCGUUUUUUCCAAUUUACUCUUAGAUUUCUGGAUAUAUAGUUCACUUCUUUAGUGUUUGAAUAGUAUACGAAGUCAUGAAUCAGACAGAAGUCCUGAAUUCUAACUGCAACCGUACAUACAUAUGUACAUACAUACAUUCAACCAUACAUACCUACAUAAAUAUUUUAUAAUCCAUUUCACAAGUGGAGCUGACCCUCACCUUAAGUACUUAUGCAGGGGAGAAAGGUUAUUUAUUAACAAAAGGGAUGGGGAGCAAAUCAGAGACCACACCAUGAAAGAGGAAGGAGAUGGCGGGGUGGAAGAAAGGAAAUCCACUCCAAUAUUAGUGGACCAGAAAUGGGAUAGAUACACACUUCAGAUAUCUCCUAUAAUGCCUUCAGACAGUCUCACCAAAUUACCAGUUUGAGUAUAAUCUUAGCCUUCCACCAAAGGCAAUAAUGAUCAAUCCAAACUGCAAAUUUGUCCUCAGGGUUGGUGAAAUUGUCCCGAAUACCGUUGGCUUACCGAUACGGUUCCGGCAAAAUGAAACUCGUUGCCUAAGCCGAAGAAGGAGAAAAAAAGAGAGCGAGCAGGGAAGAGAGGGAGAGGGCGGGACGUUGGCGGAGGGCCAGCAGAGGUUGCAGGAAGCAAGGCCGCAGCUGCUUCUCCUAUUUCGAGGGGAUCCGGCUGCAACCUUAAAAAUUUUUGCAUUUUUUAAAUGAAGUUGGCAAAUUGUGAUUUUUAAUGUGAUAUUUUUGUUCUUAACAUAAUAAAUUAUUAUUCUCUCAACUAAUAAGAGUGGCUAGAAUAAUAACUAAUAUCCUUGUAAUUGGUUGAGCAGUGCAAAUGUCAGAUGAUAACUAACUGCCGGUACUCCUGUUAUAUAGCAGUCACUAUAACAUGUCUAAUUAUUACCCAUAAUCUAAAUUCAUAUCACAUAUACGCAUACAUAUACGUACAUACAUACAUACAGAUACAUUCCCUCCCAUAUAUAUAUAUAUAUUGGAAUUUUUUCCAAUCAUAGUCCAAGAAACUGAAGUGAGCACUAAAAUGCUCUUGCUAAUUGCAUGCUUCAUGCAUAAUUAAACCGCAUUGAUGCCAUGUGACAUGGACUUGGAAAUUGGAGUCCAUAAUGUUAAUCGAACCGGAUGGUUCAACAUUAGAGAAGAGAAGGGGAACUUUCUUUUUUUUUUUUUGUAGUUUUUACCUUCAAUCGUGGGCGUUUCUCGGCGUUGAGCUUCCGAACCUCGUAACGGAUCUGCUUGGAGAAGUGCCGACUCCUCCUCUUCUCCUUGUAACGCAUCACCCUCGCUUCCCUGUUCCCCACCUCCUUCCCCUCCAUCCGAUCACUCUCCGGAACCCUCCAUCCCGUGCACCCAACUUCCACGAAAACCUGCCAUCAAUCAUCAAAUCCAUCCAUCAUCGCAUCCGACGGCCCGGAUCUACUCAUUAUUCUAUCUUCACUCACCGGAGAGGCGGUACGGUGGAGCUCAGGAACGAUUUGAGGUCCCUCCCCAUCGAUGUAGAGGGAUCCCCGAUCGGACCAGGCGGUGAGGACCUCCUCGUAGUCCAGCUUAAGCAAGGGCGCCUGCGGCGCACCGCGCCAUAGAUCGACGCCGGCGCCGCUGCUGGCGACCUCCUCCUCCGACGAGGAGGCGGCGGAGGAGCAGCAGUACACCCACCGCUCCCGCCCACGCAGCACCCUUCGGGCCAGCCCGUCCUCAUCGCCGUCCCACACCGCCGACGACGACACCGGCGACGAUCCGUCUCCGGUGGAGGCGGCGCCACCGAGGAGGGCGGUGAGGGUGGGCUCCCCGCCCCCGCCGUCGUCGUCGUCGAGGAGACAGGAGACCGGGGGCUCCCUGUCCAGGAGCAGGAGGUGCUCCGGGUGGAGCGGGAAGAGAUCCAGCUGCUGGCACUCGGCCACCCCGGCAUCGGCGGCUGGGCCGGUGGGGACAGAGGCCAUCUCCGGCGGCGGGGGGGGCAGCUGCCGGCGUAGGCUGAGGAAUUUGGGCCGUCGGAUCUUGGUUCGGGAUCGCCGGUGCGCUGUGGAUCUCAUCGAGCUCCGUUCCGACCUCAGCUCUUAAUUUAAUAAUUUUCUUUUUGGACAAAAAAGCAGAGACCAUCCUAGAAGGGAGGGCACUUUUUCCAGAAGGCUGGAGGAUGGGAAGCUGACGUGGAGGAGUUUUGACACGUGGAGAUACUUGACUGGUGAUUUCGGGGUUUAUCCGGAUUUCCUUGCUCCUGGGGGAUUUCACGGGAUCGGGUGAGAAUAAUGCCGUUGGGGAGAGGGAAGGUUGGUAAAAGCGUGGCGGGAAAGGAGGGCAUUAAUGCGACAACGGAAUCCGGUGGAAUAUGUCACGAGAAUUAUGGGGAUACUGGGAACUUGUUGGGGUUUAUCUGAUUGUGAUCUGACCGUUGGAUUAGGAUCGGACGUUGGCAAGUGGACCAGGGGAUGCAGGUGUCUAGUCUUGUCUUAUUUUGGUGCUGCCAGCGAGCAAUACCUCCAUGUCAUGCUUCGGAAAGCGACGUAACAGAUGAUUUGGCACCAUGUUAUUGGCCAGGAUGUCGCAUGAUGCAUGGGGUGUGUUAGAUUUCAUAAUCAUUUAAAUUUAUAAAAUAUUUUGUACUAUUUAAUAUAUAUAUUUUUUUGGUACAAAAAUUGUCCGACUACCCAGGAUAAUAAAUGAUAAAGAAUGCGACACAGCCUGUUGUCUUGUUCCUGAAAUGAGCCAUAAUCUCUUGUCAACCUUUAGAUAUCUUUGAGCAACAGGUGGCCAUCAUCCCACCGCUCUACCUCUCGAAUCCACUCGAUUAUGUAACAGAGUCCCUUUCUAUGAUGAUGUUGUCAGCUUCUAGAGCAAUCCUUGCUAAAAAAAUAAAAAAUUAUAAACUAAAAAAUUAAAGUUUAGAAAAUAAAAAUUAUAAUUCAAAAAAAUCACUGAUUAUUUUGUAAAAAUUCUGGAUGUGAACUUUGAUAAUUGCUUAUGGGUGCGGUUGAAAUUCUGUCAUGUUUCUAUAAUUUAUUAAUAUUAUUUUUAUUAUCAAAUAUUUUUGAUAUUAUGAAUUUGUUAAAUAUAUAUGUAUGUAAUUAUGCAUAAUUAUAUGUGUGUAUAGAUACACAGGGUGGUGUUCAUAUGUAUAUUAUAUAUACAUAAAUACAAACAUAUCAUAAAACUAUACAAAAGCCCUGAAAACUUUUGUAUUUUUAACAUACAUGGAUUCUCCAUAACCAUUUGUCUAGACUACCAAUUCCUGACUAUACGAAUCUCAAUAUUGCUCUUAGCAUGAUAUAGGCUGUUGCUCGUGCUAUAGCAUAUUUCGUUUAAAAAUAAUUUCAGAUCAGUUUUUCUUUUUUGGAAAAGUUCAAUCAUUAAUGCUUUUUAUUUGAAUUUGUUCUCGAAGAAGAGAUGCAAUGCCGAGUCAAGGCUAAGGAUUUGCAAAAUUUUAAUGGGACUGGCUCGAAGACCUAGCCCAAACGGUGUAAAAGUUGGUAUGCAAGCGAAGUUGCAUUUAUAGAUUCCUUGAGUAGUAAAAUGUUGGAUUUGAAGGUGCACUUAUGCCGUGCAUGCAUGCAUGCUUAGCUUGGCCGGCCAUGCCAUGCAUGUGUGAGAUGCAUAUAUUGUGAGAACAAGCCAUGCCGGGUUGGGCCAACCACGUGUAUAUAUUCGGUUGGCUCACUCAUAUGAACUAUUUGACUUCACCUAUUCGAAGAUCUAUUAUAGUUUUAUUCUAGGCUUAUUUGUAGAAAUUAAGAGAAAUAUUGAGUUAGCUAUUAGAGUGGCUUUUAUUAGCUUAGUUGGAGCUUUGUUAAAUGGGUAGUCAUUGGAGCUUAGUUGGAGUUACUUGGACUGGACUCUGAAUAUAGACCCUAGGUCAAGGUAAUCAUCACAUGAAUUAGAUUAUGCUCUUCUUAUUCAUGCGAAUGGCCUCUACCUCUUCAUUCUUCCAACCUGCUUAUAUUUCUAUGAUAUUCUUUGCUAUUUUUCCAAAAAUAACUUACCUUAUUUGCUAAAAGAAGCCUAACUCCGUAGUGUGGAGGUUGAAGAAAAGUUGGAAUUAUGUAUGACAGCAUUGCAAGAUGGUUGGCCCCAUCCUAUUUAUGAGAACUUUCAUGGUAUACCUCAUGCUUGCAAUGAACUGGCACUUCGGUUUGGUUAACCAUACUUACCAUGCCAUAUCAUAACAUGUCAUAAGUUCGCCAACCAUUCAAAUUAUUAGACUAUCCAAUGGUCCCAACUUGAACAACCCAUCUCUAAUGGUCCAACCUUCUUCAAAGUUCUAAUUAUCAACAAGUUUGGUGUAGGAACGGUUUGCUUCCAAACUAUCAUAAAAGCUUACACCUUUUGUCCAGUUCAUCCUUGAUAAUUAUGAUCCAAUAAAGAAGAGACUCAUAAACUAUUAACCUUCUAAUAAUUAUAAUUCCAAACUCCAAAUAUAGAAAAUCUAACCGAUCAUCUCUCUCCUCCCCAAGUUGCUCUUCUUAUAAACCACGAUCUUCUCCUAUUGGCACUAGCAACUUAUACCAAACCCAUACCAAGAUGGCCCUUAAUUCCCAAGUUGUGAUCCUCCUCCUCCUUCCUUUCCUCCUUUUAUCCUCUGCCAUGGCCUUUAACAUCACAAUGAUUCUUGAACCAUUCCCUGAGUUCGCCACCUUCAGCAACUACCUCAGCCAGACAAAACUUGUUCAUGAAAUCAACCACCGUCAAACUAUUACUGUUCUCGUUGUUGACAACUCUAGAAUGUCUGCAAUCUCCUCCCUCCCCGAAGAAAGCCUCAAGCAUGUCAUGGAAGUCCAUGUCAUCUUAGACUAUUAUGACAUUACAAAGAUCAGUAGCAUACCGCGCAAGAACUUCCUCCUCACCACCCUCUUUCAAACCACCGGCAUUGCUACUAGCAGAAUAGGGUUCUUGAACCUCAGUCAUAAGGCUGGCAAGUCGGUGGUGUUUGGGUCCGCCGUCCGAGGAGCCCCACAUACCUCAAUCUUGAUUAAGAAGAUUGUGACAAUGCCAUAUAAUAUUUCAGUGCUUCAGAUUUCUGAGCCCAUCAUUCCACCUGGCAUUUAUGGUGCACCACCUAUCGCCCCUAUAUCGGCCCCACCAAAGAAGACCGAUCCCUCGGUGGAGGCUCCAGAGGCAGACGAUACUCCUAUAGAGUCUCCAGAAGAUAGCAUUGUUGAUGCCCCUGCAGACGCUCCAAGAGAAAGUGCCGAAACUCCUGCUGACUCUCCAAAAGCAGAUGAGUCGGUCUCAGAUGUACCUAAGGAGUCAUCUACCUCACGCAAGAAAGUAAUUGAUGCGUCCGCAAAUACAUCUUUGAGCAGCCGACUAUCAAUUGGUGCUAUCCUCAGACUUGUCAUGGGCAUUGUAUUCUUAAGAGCUCUUUGAGUCAUUUGAGUUGGUUGAAAUGGAUGAAUGAAAUUUACGUGACAUCAAUCAAAUACACUUGCAGUCAACAUGUGCAAUUCACUAGUUCAAUAGUAAUAUCCAUUGGAUUAAAUCCCUUAAAGUUGUCUAACUUGAUUAUAACUACUAAUCUAAUAGCUAGAGUAAUUUGUGUUUGUGUGACAAGAAAAACGACUGACUAUUUAAUGGAUGGAUUCUUAUUACCCAUUUGUAGUAGGAUCGCCAUAACAAUCAAAAGAGCUCUAUCCUUCAAGCUUUCUACAUGAUGGGCUCGAAGGUUGUGCCAAUAUAUCACGUCGUAUUGAUUCUCAGGAGUCAUGAUAUCAUCCCUUAACAUCACCUCAAACACA
RNAcentral lists this long non-coding RNA (71058 nucleotides) under Phoenix dactylifera (date palm). RNAcentral's name for it is "long non-coding RNA (PDAC_LNC003458)". Lineage: Eukaryota; Viridiplantae; Streptophyta; Magnoliopsida; Arecales; Arecaceae. The record is from RNAcentral.